RNAcentral lists this long non-coding RNA (49184 nucleotides) under Setaria italica (foxtail millet). RNAcentral's name for it is "long non-coding RNA (SITA_LNC003510)". The record is from RNAcentral. Lineage: Eukaryota; Viridiplantae; Streptophyta; Magnoliopsida; Poales; Poaceae.
UCGUUGGUACGGCUGCUGCUCGAUAACAACUUAUUAGAAGGAAGCAUACCUCAAUCUCUGAAGAACAUAAAAGGUCUUGCAUUACUGAACCUAACAAUGAAUAAGCUAUCUGGUAGUAUUCCUGAUGCCCUUGCUAGCAUUGGCCACCUGCAACAACUGUAUCUUGCACACAACAACUUGUCAGGUUCCAUCCCCAAAGUUCUACAGAAUUUGACAUUGUUGGCAAAACUGGAUUUGUCCUUCAAUGAUCUGCAAGGCGAAGUGCCAAAAGGGGGUCCUUUUGCAAAUGCAACUCACUUGUCAAUUGAUGGAAAUGAUGAGCUUUGUGGCGGAAACCCUCAACUUCAUUUAGCUCCGUGCUCCACAGCAGCUGCGGGGAAGAACAGAAGGCGAAUGUCAAGAUCACUUAUGGUCACCGUAGCGUCAAUCUGCGCACUUCUAUUCUUAGGUUUAGUAGUUUGUCUUAUCCAUUUGAUCCACAAGAGGCUCAGACAAGGAAAGGAAAAUCAACUCAUUCCCACAGCAAUUGAUGAACAGCACGAAAGGGUUUCAUAUCAAGCAUUAGCAAAUGGGACUGACCAUUUUUCGCAGGUUAAUCUGCUCGGACAAGGAAGCUAUGGUGCAGUUUAUAAGUGCACUUUACAAGACAAGGGAAUUACCGCAGCUGUAAAGGUAUUCAACGUGUGGCAAUCUGGGUCUACUAGAAGUUUUGUGGCUGAAUGUGAGGCACUGCGAAGGGUGCGCCACCGAUGUCUCAUAAAGAUCAUCACCUGUUGCUUAAGCAUUGAUCACCAAGGCCAAGAAUUCAAGGCACUGGUUUUUGAGUUCAUGCCCAAUGGUAACCUAAAUGGUUGGCUGCAUCCAGCAUCCAAAAUACAGAGUCUGAGCAAUACGCUCAGCUUAGCUCAGAGACUGGACAUUGCGGUAGAUAUCAUGGAUGCUUUGGAUUAUCUUCACAAUCAGUGUCAACCGCCUAUUAUCCAUUGUGAUCUCAAACCAAGUAACAUCCUCCUUGCCGAAAGUAUGAGUGCUCGGGUUGGAGAUUUCGGCAUAUCAAAAAUCCUUCCUGAUGACACUAGCAAAACUAUGCUGAAUUCGGUUAGCUUCACUGGACUAAGAGGUUCCAUUGGAUACGUCGCUCCAGGUAACAGAAACUAACACUGAUAUUGCUAUGUUCAGUUUUUAACUUCCAUUUUGCCAAGUCCAGUUAUCUCGGCAUGAAUCGUUCGUAAGUAGCUUGCCAUGAAUCCACUGACCAAAUAGUUUCUGAAAUCUGAAUUGACUGCAGAGUACGGCGAGGGUCGCGCCGUCUCAACUCUUGGAGAUGUUUACAGCCUCGGCAUACUGUUGCUUGAGAUGUUCACCGGGAUGAGCCCUACUGACGACAUGUUCAAAGGCUCCUUGGACCUUCAUAAGUUCGCCGAGGCCGCUCUCCCCGACAGAGCCUUGAAGGUAGCCGACCCGGCAAUCUGGCUUCAUGAAGAAGCAAAGGGGGAAGACCCGGCCACGGUGAGAAGCAGAAGCGAGAGGUGCUUGGCUUCAGUGGUCGGGCUUGGCGUGUCCUGCUCAAAGCAGCUGCCAAGGGAGCGGACGGCGAUGCGGGAUGCUGCCGCUGAGAUGCGUGCGAUCAGAGAUGCCUUCCUGGUUCAAUGUGCAACAGAGACUUGGCCUGCAGUCGGCACCAGCGGCCUUGGAAGCACAGACACUUGAAUGGUGGACGGAGCUACGGUCUCUUGACGCACCAAGGAGCCACCGGACUAGCUGCUCUGCAACUAACAGGGUGGAGAAAGCGCCCCUUAAUGAAAAGAAAAACAGCCGGUGCAAGGCUUUAUACAAAGAAUGUGACAGCCACUGCGUGUAUCCGAGAGCCUUAUCUAAUCUACCGAGGAUUGUUAUGUAUGGAUGCGUAUAGAUUAUGCACGGACUCCUCCGUCCCAAAAUAAACGCACAUCUUGCUUCUUGAGGAGUCAAACUUCUAAGUUUGACUAAAAUUUAUAAAAAAAAUGUACUACUAUUUAUAAUGUAUAAUAAAUAUCAUUAGAUUGAGCAUUGGGUAUACUUUCUUAAUACAUUUAUUUGAAGAUGUAAAUGUUGAUACUAUUUUUUAUAUUCUUAGUCAAAUUUAAAAAUAUUUGACUCAUCGAGAAGCGAGAUGUGUGUUUAUUUUGGGACGAAAGGAGUACCCGUCACCGGGAUUAGUCAUGAUAUAAGAUUAGUCACGAUAUAAGUAGGGAUUAGCAAGCACCAAAACCCCAUUCACUGCCCAUCGAUCGCUCAAAUAAAAGAAACCAUUGCAUAUGGUGGCGAUGCGCUCGCGGGCCUUUCUCCAACCUUUCUGCUCUCGCGGGUCUUGAACUUGCAUGGAACAGUUUUAGUAAAGCUGCCUCCAACUUUAGGGAGAUUGCCAAGGUUCAUUUACCUGUCCUUAAGUGGCAAUAAGUUAGGAUCGAAUGAUAAGGACGGAUUGGAAUUCAUCACCAUGCUGGCAAACUUCAGCCAGCUUCAUCAACUGGCUUUUGACAAUAAUUCAUUCAUCGGCGAACUUCCUAGCUCAAUUGCAAAUCUAUCGACAACACACCAAUUACUCUAUAUACGAUACAAUUGGAUUUCGGGAUUUAUUCCAUCCAGCAUAGGUAAUUUGCUUGGUCUAGAACUGCUUACGUUGGCAAAUACUUUCAUAUCCGGAAUGAUUGUAGAUAGCAUUGGUCGCCUAGAAGACAUGUCCGUGUUAGGCAUUUACUACGCUAGCUUGUCAGGUAUCAUACCUUCAUCACAAGGAAAGCUUACACAGUUGAAAACUCUCUAUGCGUACGAUAGCAACUUGGAGGGUUCAUUUCCAGCAAGCUGGGGGAACUUAAAGAAUCUUUUUGUUCUUAAUCUCUCAACGAAAGUGCGUAACCCGCUAAAGUUUCAUGUCAAAGCAGAGCAUAAAUCUCUCUCAAAACUGCAAAACUAUCAUAAAGCAGAUCAGUCUGAGGGCUAGCCUAUGCCCUAUCAACGCCUCCCUUCUUGCCCUUUUGGUAAGAUUACCCCAAACUAGAGUCUAUAAUUAAUUAGCUAAGACUAGAGCCACGUAGUUCUUGUGGUUGUACUGUUUUCCUGAGUGGUCGCUCCAUGUUCCAAUUAAGCAUGAUGAUCUUGUAUUAAUAAAAGGUAUAUCAUAAAUAAAACAAGUUUAAUCAUUGAGUUCAUUAAAACCAUCACAAUCCAAGGUAUUGCAACUAAGCAUAUCUACCUUAAAAAAAGGUAAAACCCAGGUUGACAAGGAAUGAUCAUAAAAACUAGGUAAACCUUAAUAGGACCUAUCAAUAUUAAAUGUAGAGCAAUGCAAAAGUGAUUAAAUAUAGUUUUUGGGAUAAAAGUAUAAGGACACACGUGCCUUUCUCCAAAGAAUAGCUGCUCAGAUUAUCUUCCGCUCUUGUUCCUCAAAGCUCUCGAACAAUGUUCCUUCUACUUGCAUCAAUCAUCGGCACAAGCAUACCAAGCAAACAACAAUCACAACUAAGAACAAUACAUCAAUCAUUGGAAAGCUUUAAAAGAGCGUACUAAAGGAUAAGGCUUGAAUCUAAGGUCACGCGAAUGCAAGAAACGCUGGGAACAAAACUAUGGUUGAAAAGACAAAGUUAUCGAGAGAUUUGAAUUAUAAAAGAAAGAGAAAAGCAUAUGUGCUUCAUAUAUUUUAAUAAAACAAUGUAAAGAUAUUUUAGAGAAACAUCCUUAGCAUGUUAUAGUUAUGUAUGAAAAGACAAUGUAGAACUUAGUCAAAUUUUAUUAUAAACAUUCAAGUACAAUUUAUGCAAAUUAAAAAUUUAAUUUGAAAAUAAAGUAUAUGUAAACAUCUAAGCGCAUAGCUUUAUGAUUUAGGUUGAACUAACCAAAUAUAAUUAAAAACACAUUUAUAUUUAUAUUAAAUCAAAUUAACAUAUAAUUAUGAAAACUCGAGAUAUAAAUUAUGUAGCUUUUAUUUAGAAAACAAAUUGAAUAAACAUUUUAAUUAAAGAAGACAUGUUUAACAUGCAUUAAUUAGAUUAAUAUUAAAUUUAUUUUAAAAACAUGCAUGAUGGAAAGAUCGGCACUAACGUGUAAUUUGUGAUUCAGGUUGAACUAACCAAAUAUAAUUCAAAAACACAUUUAUAUUUAUAUUAGUCAAAUUAACAUAUAAUUAUGAAAACCCAAGAUGUAACUUAUGUAGCUUUUAUUUAGAAAACAAAUUGAAUAAACAUUAAUCAAUUUAAGUUUAAUUAUGAACCACCGUGGUGCAUCUCUAAUUCGCUUUUAAUUGAAAGAGUUAUUUAAAUAAGCAUUAAUAACUAAAUUAACAUUUAUUAUGAAAAGCGGUUAUAACACUAAGUAGCUUUUAAUUAAGGAAGACAUGUUUAACAUGCAUUAAUUAGAUUAAUAUUAAAUUUAUUUUAAAACAUGCAUGAUGGAAAGAUCACUACUAACAUGUCCUAAGAAUGGAUAUAAACGGAGCUGUAAUGAGGAGUCCAUGGGUUAAACAAGGUUGCAGGGCCUAAUCGCGAUUAACGGAAGGUUAUUGGGGCUAGCAAGGAAGAUUUGCAAGACACUGGAAUAGAGCUCACCAUUAGGUCAAAGCAUAGGGUUAGAUAUGUUAAAGUGCUCAGGUUAGACUUGGUUGCACGGAUCCAAUCUAAUCAGGGACAUGGAUGAAAAAAAACAAGACACAAGGAAAAACUAACUAUUUGUAGAGCUUUAUAGGGGCCUAUGCGCAAAAGCACCACAGCUCAGCAUCCAUGGUGGACGGGCUCCUGGAUGGCAAAACCCUCGUGUCAGAUUUAUAAGCCUGGUAGUCCACCAAGGGAUUCCCCAAGUGGUUGAUUUGUAGAUGAGGGUGAUUGUGAAACCAAGAACUCGAAGGUGGUCGCGAGAACACGAAGGGACACUUAGACAAGUUCGGACCUUCGGAGAGUAAUACCCUACGUCCUAUAUGCUGGUUUGUAUUGCUUGAGAUUGAUCUAAUUGUUGCGAUACCCUCGGGGGUGCCCUUGGCCGCCUUAUAUAGGCUGACGAUCAAGAGUUAAAAGUCGGUUUGAAUCUAAUCUACUCGGUAGUUACAUGGAAAGUAAUCUGAGUUGGACUACAAUAUGUGUUCCAUGAUAUCUGGGCAGAUUUGAACUAUCUUAUUGCCUUGACUUGCACUCCAAGUAACUUUAUGUCCUCGGCCCGCACGCUCUGAUCGGGCAGGCCCUACUUGUUAGUCCGACCAGUAUCCUGGCCGGUCAGGGCCCAUGGGGUACCCAUAUCCCUUAAGGCCCCAAGCAUUGUGUAGGCAAACAGGAACUUGAUGUCAUCAAAGUGAAACUUGGAAUGAAAUCGGGUGAAGCUGACGAAGAGCCAACGCGUAGAGCGAGGAUGAGUGCCGAGUUGAUGGAUGCUGGCAUCCAGCAGGUCGAAGCGAAGGUUACGGAGGGCGUCGCAAGACGCACUCUGUAGGAGUAGCCCCGGAGCAUUGAAACAAUUAAGAUAAUCAAUACAAUGGUCAAAGAGGAAAAAAUUGUCCCCUGAAGUAGAUCCUUGUGCCCGAACACAAGGAUGGACGCAGCCACGGAGGCCCGCCAACCAGAAGUAGGCACCUAGACUCAAGGACGAGGACUGGUGGGACUGUGGAGCCAUGCCGACCUGAAAUAGGCAUCUAACCCCUGAGGACGAGGACUAGCAGAGCCGCAGAGGCAUGCUAACCUGAAAUAGGUGCCUAGCCCCCGAGGAUGAGGACUGGCGGAGCCAUGAAGGCACGCCGACUUGAAAUAGGUGCCAAGCCCCCAAGGACGAGGACCAGCAGAGCCACGAAGGCACUCUGACCAGAAUUAGGCGUCCAGCCCCCGGGCAUGAGUGCGAGGAUUGGCGGAAGCACAUCGAGUUGCCUCCCUUCCCGGGCUCAGGCAGAGAGGUUGGUCGGGUGACGAGAGGCACACCAAGUCAUCAAUGGUGCCCAGCCGCCGAGCCUAGGAGCCGGACGAGUUGCAAAAGCAUGGCAAGUCACCUCCCGCCCCGAGCCAGAGAGGUCGGCUGGGCGACGGGAGGCACGCCGAGUCAUCUACGGUGCCCAGCCCCCGAGCCUUGGAGCCGGCUGAGCCACAGAAGCACGCCAAGCCGCCUCCCGCCCUGAGCUAGAGAGGUCGUUUGGGUGACAAGAUGCACGCCGAGUCGUCUGCGGCGCCUAGCCCUCGAGCUUGGGAGCCAGACGAGCCACAGAAGCAUGCCAAGUCGCCUCCUGUCCCGUGCUAGAGAGGUCAGCCGGGUGAUGGGAGGCACGUCGAGUAGUUUUUGAGCUAUAAAAGAACAAUACAAUCAUUAUGUAGCAUAAUGUAGAUCAUUUAAUCAUUGAACAACUCGGAAGUUUAAUUCGCUGUAGAAGUAAACUCUUGCGCAUCCUGCUCUUAUAGGCCAAGUAAUUUCCCUAGGUAGUUAUCUUGUUACGUUUAAGCACCUAGCCCUACUGACCACUGUUCACGGAGAGGAUGGUUUAUCUUAGGCUAUAGUGCUGGGGCUGACCCGAUGCUCGCAUAUAGGAACGCGCAGGAUGAGUCAAGGUUUCACGGAUUAAGGCGUGUGCUACCCGAGUACUUUAGCAACCGUUAACAGGGAUGGACAAGUCGCAAAGCAACCGGAACUGUGCGGAAAAGCACCAGCAUGAGUUGGGCACCCAUGGGGUGUAGCCCCCGGCCGCCCGUGUAGUGGACGGAACAAAAGUCACGACAACAUGGAGGAGCCGAGGCUUAUGUAGGUAUAUGGAAGCUGUAAAAUAUUUUAUUGUAAAUAAUACUUAGCUUGAUUCGUGGUCGAGUCAAAGAACCCGCGUGUCAUCUUCGCGUUUAGUCUUAGAAGCCCCUGAGCGUGGUCGGCGGACAGUUGUUGGUGAAGCAAACUAGUCGGGCUCCAUGCCCAACUAAUUCGUGUCGAGUUCGAGUUGUUGGAGUUGUCAGCGGCAGGUUUGUGGUUGCGAUUGUGGUAUGCUGUUGCCAAGUCGAUGUGGCCAUCGGGUCGUGUCCGGCUGGCCGCUACGCUCACAGUACAGCAUGUCUGGGUUGUGCUGCCAAACCAAGGGUGCAUGUACAUCUUUUCGAACCUUGCAAGGAAGCCCUCACGUAUUAAGGAAAUCUAUACCUAAUAUUAAAGCUCCCGCAGCGUGCGCCUAUGCCACGUGUGGUGUGGACGGGUGUGCCGGCUGCGGCUGCGAGCUCCUCACUGCGGCAGGGACCAGGUCGAGCAGCGACAGUGAUGACGAAGGGGAGUAGUCCGCGUCUGCGUGCCAUGCCACCAUCGCCGGGCAAGGUGUGGCAGCGGCGGAGGGGGAGAGUGAGUACAUCGGCGUGCAGCGGCGGCCGUGGGGUAGGUGGGCGGCGGAGAUCCGCGACCCGCACUACGCCGUGCGCAAGUGGCUCGGCACCUUUGACACAGCUAAGGAUGCCACGCGCACCUACAACAUCACCGAUGUCGAGUUUUGAGGCCACUGCACCAAGAUCAACUUCCCCGACAACACGGCCCCCGCGCCCGCACCUUCCUGGGUGCCAAACUCGACAUACCACCACCACGACCACUUGCCGCUGCCGCUGCCCGAGAGCCUACACGAGACCUGCGGGGCGAACGCAUCCUCGUCGAUGGAUGUGGCUCUUGCGGUAGCGGCGUCGGCCGAGCAGCACGGCACGAGGCCGGUGCCGAAGGAGCAGGACAUCUGGGACAGGCUGAACGAGUUCAUGAUGAUGGAUGACGGUAGCUUUUGGUCACCCAUGCUAUGAUCAUCACAUUCUCCUCCAUUCUCCUCUUGUUUUCACUUUCGUUGCUUAGCGGAUAAUGGUGGUCAGCUGGCCUCUGGUCUGUCGUCAAUCGCCAGCCAUCCAUCGCUUUUAUAUGGUUUUGCACUAGCUUUUGGGCUUUGACCACACCCUCCACACCCAUACGAAAUGACUAGGUAGAGUGAUGUUGAUAUACUGCUUGCCGCGCGCUAGGGCGAGCAGCUACUCACUCGGGCUAGAUGCCCUACCCGCCACCUGGACCUAAGAGGUGAAGGAGAGAGGAGGGAGGGGGAAGGAAACAAGGAGCCGAGUGCCUCUUUGCAGUCAACCAAGUAGAGCCAUAUGCCAGCGAAGGCAUGGCGCCAGCGAGGGGGGGGGGCGCAGCGGCAGUCGGUAGGCAACACAAACAGGGGGCGGAGGUCGGGACCUCACAUCCCCCUCUCAAUGAUGUCCAUCCCCUUCAUAUCCAGAACUAAAGCCUCCACAUCUAGCAAUUGGGGGCUCGAUUUUGCACUUGAUUGGAACGAUUUGGAGUGGAUUAUAGAAGGGAAGUGGAUGGAAACGAGAAGAAGAGGAAAACACACUCCUGCUCAUGGCGGCCAGAGGCGCGGUGGCCUAGGUCUCGAAGCAGGAAUGAGGCUAGGCACGGGAAGGACGAGCGUUUGCCUAGGCGACGGUGAGGAUGGCAAGAUGCGUAGCGCCUGGAUGAUGGCGAAGAUAGGGCAUGAUGCGGGUGGCGCCGACGGACGAAGUGGCAUCGACUAGCUAGAUGACGAUGAGUACGGGGGAAAUCGAAUGAAUGGAUAGAGCGGAGGUUGAGCGGUGAUUUUUUUUUAUUUCCAUGUGUGGGUCCCAUGUAAUAAACAGAUGGCAUCAAACCACCCACAAAUAUCUUCUACUACUGUACUGGGAUAACGCAUCAACAUAUGGUGAAGCGAAAUCAACAUAUUAGGAACAAGCAAAUAAUAAUGUGAGAGUAAGUAAGGACUUGUAGCAACGUACAUGUAUUUCUGCUAGUAAGAAAAAAAAUUGUUAGCUGCCGUAGUAAGCACCAAGCAACGUAGGAGAUCUACUGGAUGGAAUAGAUUAAAUAAUAAAGGGAAGGGAGAAUUGUUCCUUUUUUUUGGCAGAUCCGACGUGUCUGCAUGCAACAAGUUGAGGUCGACGUGUUGUGCUAAAUCAACCGGAUCAGACUGGGGCCGGAUCAGGCGAGCUUGGCUGUGGCCGGGAUGAGGCCAAUAAGGGCGUCGCCCUUGACCUUGGCCUCCUGUGCCUCGCGGAUCUUCUACAUCUGGAGCAUCUGCUCCAUGAUGAGCUCGUAGUGGCACUUCUUGUAGGCGUGGCGCUCGGGCUCGCACUUCCAGCGGAGGUAGAACUCGGAGGUGCACGCACUGGUCGUGGUAGGCGAGCGGCACCAAGGCCUCCGCCAUCUCCACCUGCGUGAUGAUCUGGGGCUUCGUGGAGUCGAACUGAAUGCCGGCCAUUGCCGCCGCCUCCAUCUGUCACUUUCUUGCCCUCUCUCUUGCCGGCGAGGUCGUUCCGUUGAUAGAUGGGUGCUGCGGGUUUGGUGCGGCGUGGGUGGGUGGUGUGCAGCAAGGACGUGAGGAACCCUCUCGGAGAGAGAGAUUGCUUACCUACUAGGUAAACGGUGUGAUGAUCCUUUGAUAUAGACCUUGCUCCGCCGGAGUAAAUUCGACAGAUGCCAAGCUGGCGGCGGGCAUUGAGUCGAAGUCCACCGGCAUGCUCCUGAAGUGGAGCUGGAUCGGAUUGGCGAGGAAGUCCUUCAUGCUCUUGGGGAAAACAAUGUCGGGGCGGGAUGCCAUCGAGCUCGCUAGGGAGGAUCUUACAAUCAUCCCUACCUAGCGCGCCAACUGUUGGAUUUAUAAGCCCGGUAGUCCACCAGGGGGUUACCCAAGUAGUUGAUUUGUAGGUGAGGGCAAUUGCAAAAUCAAGAACUCGAAGGUGAUCGCGAAAACACGAAGGGACACGAAGGUUUUAGAUAGGUUCGGGCCUCCGGAGAGUAAUACCCUAUGUCCUGUAUGCUGAUUUGUAUUGCUUGAGAUUGAUAUGAUUGUUGGGAUACCCUCGGGGGUGCCCUUGGCCGCUUUAUAUAGGCUGACGACCAAGAGUUACAAGUCGGUUUGAAUCUAAUCUACUCGGUAGUUACAUGGAAAGUAAUAUGAGUCAGACUACAAUACGCGUUCCAUGAUAUCCAGGCAGAUUUGAAUUGUCUUGUUGCUUUGACGUGCACUCCAAGUAACUUCAUGUCCUCGACCCGCACGCCUUGGUCGGGUCGGCCCUACUUGUCAGGUCUGACCAGUAUCUUGAGGUACCCAUAUCUCUCACCUUGGUGCUCCGGCGAUUAGGGUCAGUGGCGAGGAUGGGGAUUGGAAGAGGAGAUCGAGGGGACUUUAUGGAGAUGCUCACCGGCGACGAGGCGGACGGAUUCUGGCCAGUAUUUGGCUGGCGGUGGAAGAACACGACAGCUGGCUCAAGUCUUCGUGAGUGAUGGUACUCCGGCGGUGGAGCGACGACGACGACUGGUGGCAGAGCUGCUCCUCGAUGUCACGGAGCUCCCUAAGGCUCUAGCUUGCUCCGAUGGUCGACGAGCACAGCGAAUCGGCCAGAGAAGGACGGCAGUGGCUCCUAGCUCUGGCGGAUGUGGGGGAUGGCAGUGCUCGUGCAAGCUAGGAAGAGUGGCGGUGUGAGGCAGGGCAAUAGCAGGGGCACAAUCUCGACUUUUAUAUGUGCGUGGGUCCGCGCCUGCCUUGGCACGCAUGCCGAGGUUCGGCGGUGGCGAUGCCCAAGUGCAGCUACGCUUGGCCUCGACCCGCUGUUGGUCGAUGGGCCUAGCGGGCCUAGCCGAGCCAUCAACUGGGCCGGGUCAGUGCAGGUUAGUUGGAGAGGGUCGGGCCCCAAAGACUUGGCCCCAUCGAUUAGGAUUUUUCUUUUUUUCAGAAAUGAUUUCUCGUGAAAGAAAAAUCCAGAAAAAUUCUAGAUAAUUAAUUUAAACAAUGAAAAAACUCUAAAAAUCCAAAAAUUUCAGGAAAAAUCAUCUCUAGUUUGGGACAUGAGGAGUCCAAAUAAAAUACUUGGACCUCGUGAAAAGGAUUCUAGAACCUUCCAAAAAUUGGAUUUAGCUUUAGAAAAAAAUGAGAAUAAAUCUUAGAAAAAUCUGAAAAUUCUCAUAAGAACCUAAUCAGCAUCUAAACGCAUUCCAAAACCUUUGCACUUAUGAAAUACCAAGAUGCAUUGGUGUGAAUGCAACCCAUACACAAUCAUUAUAUUUAAUUCAGAAAAACACUCAAUUGUUUUCCUAUACUAAAUUUCCUCUUAAGAAAAUAAAUGUUGGAAAAAUUUUAAAAUUGUGAAAAAAUUAUUGUUUAAUUAUUCUUUUUAAUCAAAUCCUGAAAUUUCAAAAAUUUUAAGGUGAGGCAGAUACCCUCAGGUUUACAGAAUUUGACAUCCAUGUGCAAAUUGGAUCUAUCCUUCCAUGAUCUACAAGGUGAAGUGCCAAAAGUUUUUUUUUGGCAAAUGCAACUUACAUGUCGAUUUAUGGAAAUGAUCAGCUUUGUGGUGGAAAUACCUCAACUUCAUUUAACUCCAUGCUCCAUGUCCAGUGCAAAAAAGAAAAAAAAGGAAAUUUGUCGAAAACCCUUGUGAUCACCCUAACAUCAAUCGGUGCAGUUGUAUUCUCAGUUUCAGUACUUACUGUAAUUGUGUUGAUCUGUAAGAAGCUUAGGAAAAGGCACGAAAGUCAACUCAUAUCCACAACUGAGGAACGGUAUGAAAGAGUUUCUUAUCAUGCUUUGUCAAAUGGGACCAAUGGAUUUUCAGAGGACAAUUUACUUGGACAAGGAAGCUAUGGCAUGGUUUAUAAAUGUACUUUACAUGACCAGGGCACUACAGUAGGCUACUGUAAAGGUGUUUAACACACAACAAUCUGGGACUUCUAGAAGUUUUGUCGCUGAAUGCGAGGCACUCAGAAGGGUGCGUCCUCGUUGUCUCGUAAAGAUCAUCACUUGUUGCUCAAGCAUCAAUCACCAGGGUCAAGAGUUCAAGGCACUAGUUUUUGAGCUCAUGCCAAAUGGUAGCCUAAAUGGUUGGCUUCACCCAGAGUCUGACACACUUACCCAGACAAAUACCCUUAGCCUUGAACAAAGGCUACACAUUGCUGUCGAUAUCCUGGAUGCUUUGGACUAUCUUCAUAAUCACUGUCAGCCAUCAAUCAUUCAUUGCGAUCUCAAGCCAAGCAACAUCUUUCUUGCGGAGGACGUGAGUGAGUGCCCGAGUUGGAGGUUUUGGCAUACGAAGAAUCCUUCCAGAAAGUGCUAGUAAAACCCUGCAAAAUUCGAAUAGCACAACUGGAAUAAGAGGCACCAUUGGUUAUGUUGCACCAGGUAAUGAAAGAGAUAUUUUUGGUAUUUGUAAAAUGUUCUUAGUUCUUACGUAUACAUGACCUGCUGACCUUUGGAUUUUUUCCCCAAUCAGAGUACGGUGAAGGUUCUUCUGUCUCAACUCAAGGUGAUGUUUAUAGCCUCGGCAUAUUGCUGCUUGAGAUGUUUACUGGAAGGAACCCAACAGAUGAGAUAUUCAAUGAUUCUUUGGAUUUGCACAAGUUUUCAGAGAAUGCUCUUCCAGAGAGAAUAUGGGAUAUAGUUGAUCCGACAAUACGGAUGCACACAGAUGCCUAUAACAGCACUAUAAGAAGUGGAAUUAAGAAUUGCUUGGUUUAUGUUGUUUCUCUUGGAAUAUCAUGCUCGGAGAAACAACCUAGGGAGCGGAUCCCGAUUCUGGAUGCAGCCAUUGAGAUGCACGCUAUUAGAGAUUCGUAUCUCAAGUUUGCCAGAUCUCUUUUGGUGGAGCAUGGAGUAGUAGCAACAACUCACAGUGAUUUUCCACAACAGUGAAUACAUAGGACUGAAAAUGCGCAAGAUGUCUGCAGAUGAUCAGUUUACCUGAAAUAACUGAAGAUGUAUGAAGCUUCAGCUUUAUAAUUUGUCCAUGCAUUUGUUUGCAUCAGAUAUAUGGAAGUAUAAAAUAAGUUUAGAAAAUGUUUCAAAAUAGAUUAGAUCCAGAGGUUUUAGUUGUCGUUUGUAUGACACAUUUUUGUAGAGAAUUCAGUAAUAUGUAUGAUUCAUAAUACAAUCAAUGCUCUGCAAAUUUCAGAUAGCACAAUUGGAAUAAAAAGCUCAUUCCUUGAUUAUGUUUCUCUAGGUAACUCAACUUAUUGUGAUGUUCACUGUAGAUUUCUCCAUGGUCCAAACGACCUUUGUGAUCAGUUAUGUUUAUGCAUUUUGUAGAAUUGUAAAGUCUUUCCCUAACCUGCUGACAUAUUAGCCGGAGCAUAGCACUUUGCCGUUCUGUACCACUCGCCUCUAGGAGGCGCUUGCCGCUUGGUGGCUGCCGUGGCGACCGACGGCAUCCGUACCUGCUCUGUCGGAGAUGGGUGGAGCUGCUCUGCUCUGCCGGUACGAGCUCACUCGCGCCGUGAAUGGCGCGCGCCUCUAAGGUCUCAUCAGCUGCAGGUGCAGAUGGGUGGAGAGCUUAGCGGCGCUAGGUCUUCAGAAGAUGGGGCUUUGCAGCUCUGAAUGGUGAGGCGGGCAGGGACGACGGAGCUGGACGCGUGGGGAGGAGACGAUGGGCAUUUCUGAUAAUAGUUGGAUCGCGAUCCAAAUUAGGGGGCUAUUUACAAAUAAUAGGGGGUAUUCCGUAAAUAUUCGGAUCGCGAUCAUUAAUCGCGAUCCAAAUGAGGGGUUAAUUGAAAUUAUGAUGGGGUGUCUUUUGAAAUUCCGGAUCGCGAUCCCAUCCUCCGCCGCGGCUCGCCGGAGCGCCGCCAGACGCCGGCCAUCCCUUGGGGUACCUCUUCUUCCUUCCGCUUGUCGGAGCCCUAAGACGUGGUCGGUGUUUGAUCUGACAAGGAACCUUGAAGUCCGGACUAACUGAAGAAGACAGACAUGAUGCUGACCUGGAAGACGACGGCCUCGCCAUGGCUGGAUGCGGCGCGGUGGAAGGACAGUGUGGUGGAGGGCGUGGUCCACCACAUUCCGUCGACGGGCGGCGCACUUGCUGUCGCCUGUCGGCUACUUCCAGGCCGUAGCUGAGCUUCAGAGUUCAGACAGGGUGCUUGUGCUUGCAACAAGUUCAGAACGAUGUCAUUAAUUUGAUGCAGAGGAUGGAGCAAACCGGUUGCAAAUUGGAUUCUGAUACAUAUAACUUAAUAUUGAACCUUUAUGUCGAUUGGAAAUAUGAGAAGGGGUGCACCAAAUAUGGGAUGAGAUGGAGAGGAGUGGAUCAGGCCCAGAUCAACGAUCAUUUACUAUUAUGGUUCAUGGUCUUCAUUCCCAAGGAAAGCUUGAUGAGGCUCAACAAUGAAGUCAAGAGGGUUGAUCCCUGAACCAAGGACCAAGAUACUGGUGAAAGCUAUACAUAUGAAGAAAGAUGGGGCUGUCACAGAAGAUCAGUCUGCAAAUAUGACAGGGAAGAAUCUAAAACUGGAUCCACGAUCUAGACUAUUCCAUGUUCAUAAAUAGUUUGCUGUCAGAUCUUACUUCUAUAACCUGAACAGAGGAUUGCUGGGCACGUAUUAUGUGUCAAAAGAAUAUCUUCUACCAGUGUCCAGAUCACAAUGGCCACACCUUGGGCUACAAUAAAUCAUCAGCAAAGUGUAUUGGCAUUAUGUAUCCCAGAAAGUUUUGCUCAGACUUUCAAUGCCAGGGUAUGCUUUUUAUGUCUGAUACGGAUCAAUUGCCAGUACUGUAUUACACCGCUCGUAUUAUGAAGGUUAUGUGAAAUAUGACAGAUGUUUGUUUAUUCAUCUGUUAUGCAUGGCUGUGUCUACUGUCUAGUUCUUGGCUUGUUGCCAACAUAUGCAGCAGCAGGUAGCUUCAGCCGCUCAGAAGCCCAAAUGAAGGAUGGCCCAGGCAGAAUAGCUAUGUCUAGACCCAGAAAGCUUAGGACAUGUCUUGCCAGCCUGCAGUUUUGUACUCGUAGCACCAACCAUCUCCGGGUUCUGGCCGGUUAUAUACAUGAUCUGGAAUGGGCAUCCGCUGAUCGAUUGAAACCUUGAGUUGCUUCCGUGUGUCUUUUGCCAUCUAUAUAUUAUGGUUAGUCAACGGCAUGCAGUACACCCAUGCAUAUGAUUGCAGUAGGAUGACAUGGCGCGACCAGAACCCUUCUUUUGCCAGUUUUAGAUUCUUAUACACGGCCAACUGACGCAGCAGGGAGUGGCAUGCUAAGCAGUUCAGCGUAGGUGGUGUGUUCUUAACUCUGAUAUGGCUUAUGGAAGAACACUGUCACGGUGUCACUGUCCAACCUCUUACUAGGGACAGCAAUGGCCCUGUCCACUGUUUCGUGGCUGGUAUUAUUACCCCUAUGCAGUGAAUCUGACAUGUGGAUCUAUGUGUAUAUUAUGUCGUCAAAAGAACAUUAUUUGAACUCUAUUUGUGGCGCCACCUUUGAUUCUAUUAAUGUGUCAUGGUCAAUUGAUGUCAAACUCUAUUAUCUUCAAGUCUUAUUGUAUUGAUAAAAUCACGAUGCUGCUACUGCCAUUUUGAUGUUUAUAAAAGGGUAUUGAGAACCUGGUGGGUAUCCAUUCGAUGCGCAGGGGUGGGGGUGGGGAAAAAUGAGUGUAAAGGAUAGGGAUACAGUAUUUAGAAAGAUGGGGCUGCCACAGAAGAUAGUCUCCAAGUAUGGCAGGGAAGAAUCUAAAAACUGAUUCCUUGAUCAAGACUGUCCCAUAUUCAUAAAUAGUUCACUGACAGAUCUUGCUUGCAUAUUCUGAACAGCUGAUGCUGGGCACAUAGGAGGUUAACCGGUCAGCGGAUCGAAGGAAAAAAAAAUCUUGCCUGUCAGUGUCCACAAUGGCCUCAUCUUGGGUUAGAGACAAUCAUCCCUAAAGAAUCAUAUUGCCGGAUAAGGUUAUCUGUGAUUGGUGGGUGCAGAUCCAUGCUCAUCCUAGAAACAAGCCAGGGCUAAAUGCGCCACUCAUUUUAGAUGCUUGGAUGUUGUGGUCACACCGAAAUGAUCGUGUGUUUAAUGGAGUUUCCCAUAGUGACUAGCGUGCAGGCUGUCCUCGUAUUCGAGAAAAAAAAAAUCAAUGGGCGAAAUAUUUUCACCCAGGUAAUUGUUGCAUUGUAUGAAUAGGUUAGAGUAUGAAUGUGCGUGUACUGUGACACAAGAAGAUUUAUCAUAUCCAUAUAUGAAUUAGUGUUAAAUUUGCUACAUAAAUAUCUUCUCUUAUCUCAUUGUAUGUGUAUAUAUGACACAGAAGCACAUGUAUAUCGGCAUUGUAGAGAGAGAGAUGAGAGAGAGAAGCUUAUCUGCUUUUUGGAGAUAAAUAUUCAAAUUACUGGUGUAUGAGAGGGAUAUAAUUAUUCUAUUAAAUUGUUUAUUCAACAUCUAAAAAGAUUCCAAUGUUUAGUCAUCUAUAUAGGCAUUGUAGAGAGAGAGACUAGUGUUCAGCUGGUUGGAAGGAUGAGAGAGAGGAGAGAGUUCAGAUGAGAAAGAGACUAGUGUUUAGCUGGUUGGAAGGAUGAGAGAGAGAGAUAGAGUAGAGUUUGGAUGAUAGAGAGAUUAGUGUUCACCUGGUUGGAAGGAUGAGAGGGAGAUGAGAGAGUUCAGAUGAGGAGGUGGAGAGUUUGGAAGAGAGAGAGAGAGGUGAGAGUUUGGAUGAGAGAGAAAGCAGCUAAGAAGGAUGAGAGAGAGAAAGCGGUAUUCAGCUGGAUGGUGGAGACUUCAUAUAUUACUUAGCGUUGCUACGGCGAAACGACGUUGCUUAGCGCGCGAUGUUUUUAUCGUGUCGUGUAGCGCACCACAUUUUUUAUCGUGUUGUGUAACUUUUUUAUUUUAGUAGUAUUAGACUUUUCAUACAUAAGGGGCCACGUGAGUGUGUCCAUAUCCCAACCGUGCGGAGACCGCUUGUCAUUGAAUUUGUUAUCUCUUGCUCUAUCUUGUGAUUGGUAGGCUUCUACAGCAAUUCUGCACAAAGAAGGCCCCACUUCGCCCCACUCCUGACGUCCGGUUAUUCCCACGCCUGCCCUCUCCCUCUCCAAUCCUCACCGCCAGCUCCUCAGGGUCUAGGUCGGCCCGUGAUGUAGUGGCCUAUUAUCCUUCCACCGUUGGAAGCGAGCAGUGAUCGCUGCUCUGUGAACCUAGCCUCAAGCUGUUCCUACCACUUCAGGUCCAGUGAUGCCCGAGCUUUCGCUUGGCCCGAACAGGCCACUACCAACUUGGAACGGGCAAGGCCAGCAAGGGCACAGAAUAGACCCAAGCCCAGAGUCCGCGCCCAACCAUCCACACCACCUUAAUGCCCCCACUUGGGUUACAAGCCCGCGCAACCAAGCUCGGUGAGGAUGGCUCGUGAGGACGAACAUUUAAGCUGGUGCGUUGCUGCUUCAGAUGGCGAGGUGAUACUAAUAUAACGAAUAGGAAAAUUUCACGUGGGUCCCAUGCCGCACCCACCCCUAUCCUUAUCCUUUCUCAUCUCUCUACUGUCUGUCCGGUCCUUAUCCUCCUCAUCUCAUCUCUCUCUCUCAAUCCCUCUCUCUCAAACUCUCUAUCUCUCCUAUCCCCUCUUUCUCUGGAGAACGCGGUGCACGGCCAGCCCCAGCGGCGGCCUGGAGGCGCGAGGUGCCGCCGGCGGCCGAGGGUUGCGGGGCUGCGGCAAGGAGCCUCCUGGCUGUGGAUGCGACGGCCUAGCCACGGGUGCCGGGCCGCGUCACACCGCGCGCUGCUGCCGUCGAGCGGGCCGCACGCACUGCCCACACACCAGGCGGCGUGGGCGGCCAGGCUGAGCGGCGCGGCCGGGGCUGGGGAGGCGACUCUGGUGCGGCCGAGGUAGCUUGGGCACGGCCGGCUGUGGUGGGUAGGGAGAGGUGGACGGCGGCACAACGGCAGCGCGGAGAGGCGGACGUCAGGCACGAACGGGUGAAAGGGGAGACUGGGAAAGAAAGCUGGACCCACCUAUCAAUGCAGCCGGGGCCGGGGCAGCGCGGGCGGCUGAGGCCGAGGCCAGGCGGCGCGGUCGGGGCCAGGGAGGCGGCUCUGGUGCAGCCAGCCGUGGCUGGCAGGGAGAGGCGGACAACAGCGCAACGGCGGCAUGGAGAGGUGGACGUCAGGCACGGGUGGGUGAAAGGGGAGACGGGGAAAGAAAGCUAGACCCACCUGUCAAUGCGUUAAUCUUACCUAUUAUUAAACAUCAGGGCCACCUCUCAUUGAUAGAAGUUGGACCAAACCAAAAAAAAGUGGGCAGAAGUGUUCCUCACUUUAAUAGUAACAAUAAAGUAUAGAUAAUGCAUCCAAACAACAUUUGGAAUUUAAUUCUAAGAAAAACAAAAUAUGAUUCAUGGAAUGAGUUUCAACUCUAGGAAUCCAAACAGGCCUUAGUUAUUUCUUAUGUAGCUCAAAUCAGAUGCAAGGUACGUCCUAACUUAAAAAACGUAAGUUACUUUGUGUUAUCUUGUGAAUCAGUGAUUAAUUACUUCCAAUCUUAUGUAAAAAGAACUACGAGUUAAAUUCUUUGUCAGAUUUAUACUGACAAGUUACAAGCACAUACCUCUGCAGUAACAGGCGAGCCCUAGACUAGUGGGCAAACCAAAAACAACAUGAUUCGUCAACUGAUCGAAUGCUAAUGACUAUUUUGCUAGGAGAAUGAACAUGAUUCAUGAAAAAAAGGGAGCUACUAACUUGGUCAAGGUCUCCGUCCUCUAGCGUGGGGAAGGGGCCAUCUUGCUCCACGCCACGUCUGCGUGGUUGCUCGGCGGGCGCGACGGCGUCGGCUGCGGAGUGCGGACGGCGCGUAGAUAUGUCAUUGUUGAUCAGGACAUGCACUGCUAUCACCGUCUGUUAUUGGUCAAGGUCUCCGUCCUCUAGCGUGGGGAAGGGGCCAUCUUGCUCCACUCCACGUCUGCGUGGUUGCUCGGCAGGCGCGACGGCGUUGGCUGCGGAGUGCGGACGACGCGUAGAUAUGUCAUUGUUGAUCAGGACAUGCACUUCUAUCACCGUCUGUGGUUGGCGUCCGCGGCCGAGCGGGUCAAGGUCUCCGUCCUCUAGCGUGGGGAAACAGGAUCUCUUCAAUCAGUGCUUCUACAGAAACGGUGCACGGUCACCACGGACCAACGACAUACCAUGAGAAAAGCAGAGCGAAAUGUUGCAGUAGCAGAGUGACCGGAGACUGGAGAGCACUUGCUGCUAAAAGCUGCCUCUUAUUUUGUAUCGUCUUAACAGAAGACUUUAAGUCAACCGCCAUUCGAUUCCAAUAUAAACUAGCAAGUUGGCCCGCGAUAAUACUGCGGCUAGAUUUGAUACAGUAUAAUUUUUUUAAAUACUAUGUUAGCUUAGUAUAUUUCUUUGUCCCUCUUGAUUUGUUUUUCAUCCUCUUGAAAUCACUGAGUAUAGUUAGGUGCCUUACUCUACACAUUGAGUAUCAAGCCAUAUGUGUAUAUUUGUUUUUUUGCAAAUGAACUCCGAUGCCACAUGUGCAUAUGCACGCCUAAUUAAAAUUGCUCACUUGUAACAAAAUAAGAACAACUUGAGUAGUUGAUUCUGAUCUUAUGUUGAAGUUUUUGCCAACUUUUCCUAGUAUUGUUGUGUUGAGUAGAAAGCCUGUGUAGAGAAAGAUACAAAACAAACGAUCGUGUCAACUACUCCCCAUGCUUGCUCAAAUGAUUUUGAAAAAAAAAAACAACCGCGCUCUAAGUCCUAGGGCGGUGAUAUUCCUCCUUACUUUCCUCCUCUUGUUUUCCAUGCACAAUCGAGGAUGACAAAUACCACAAACCACUUAGGCUCGAUCAUGUUUCAUCAUCACAUUCCUCAAAUCUUGAUCACGUUGUUGUCUUCAUUAUGCUAGCAGUACACAUCUCUCCGCCUCUUCUAUUCCACAAAACCAUAAUUGUUCACCGGCUCCAGCAUUGUUGUUGCUCUCCACCAAUCGAGGAAGCUCUUGUCCUUGACAUCACCUUAUCCACUGACCAGCUGAAGUUAUCUGUACAUCCAAAGGUCUCAUAAGAUUUUUGCUGGAUUUGCAUUAAUAUUAAUAUUGCCACCAAUCUAGUCUCAACCUCGCCUUGUGUUCUCCGUGGUCAUUUUUUAUUCUAACUUGCAAGCUCCACAACUACAUAUGAUGGUUCUUCUAUAUACAUAAUAUAUCGCAUCUUCUAAGACAUAUAUCGCGGGCCGGCGGCGCGCGGGGGAGCGGCGCCGGUGGAGCGGAGGCGACCGGUGGUGGGCGGAAGCGGGUGGGCGCGAGCGCGGGUGGAGGCGGAAGAGCGUGCAGGCGGAGGCGGAUGGGUGGAGGCGUGCAGCGGCGGCGGGCGCGGGCGUGUGGCAGCAAGGCCGGCGGCGCGGGGAGGCGGAGACCGGUGGCGGCCAGCCGGCGAGCGUGGGGAUUCUUUUUAUUUUUUUCGAAAUUUUUUAGUCCCGAUUAGUGGUUGGUAACCCAACCGGGACUAAAGGGGACCUUUAAUUCCGGGUGGAUGACCCGGGACUAAAAAUCUCCUCUUUUGUCAAGCCAUCACUAUUGUCCAUAUCACAACGCCUGUGCCUUCUCUUGUUGUCCUCCCCCUUCCCUCUACCUUGCACCUUCUGUUUUCCUGAUCCUAUUGCCAGUUUGUUGCAGCCAUUUAUGGGCACCUCUUUCAUCCAUUGUCCACUGUUGUUGCCCGCUGCUUCAGUUCUUCUCUGACCAAAGCGGUCGUAUCGCGCUGGCCGGUAGGAAGCCAUCAUCUCGCAAAAGCGUCAUCGUCGUCGCCAAACCACAUCUAGCCGAUGCCGAACCAUACUUGCCAUCUUCUUUGCCAAUUUGCCGCUAUGGAAGCCUCCAUGCAUCGCUCAUCAAGUCUAUCCUAUCUCUAUCAGCUCCUGUGGUAUCCUGUUUUGUUUUUGCCUCAACCACGAAGCCAUAGGUUGCUGGUGCUAAAUUGCAGGGCUAGCAACAGGUAUUUCCUCUCCCUGGCCUUGCGGCCAUGCUAUGUAUUUUUCUCUUUAAAAAAAUUACAAUGAUUUAAUCCUAAUGUUCCGAUCAUGUGUGAUUGGUUUAUUAAUUAAAGUUAGAGUUAUACUUGAGUAUAUUAUAUAAAAAUAAUAUAUAUAUAUAUAUAUAUAUAUAUAUAUAUAUAUAUAAGUUACCAUACAAAGUACAACUUCCUACAAGGUGGAGAGGUUCGGAUGGAAUUUUGAUUCAACUUACUCUAUUCUAGAUAUUAGAGUUGUACUAGCAAAAUAUGCUAGUAUGUUGCUACGGUAAAAGAUCAAUUGUGUUUUUCAAAUUAAUAAUAUUUUUUAUUUUCAUAACUAAAUUUUUAUUCCACUUAUUGGAUGUCCACACAUUUAAUAGAAAACUAAAAGAAUUUUUUAUUCAAGCAAGAUAGUUAAAUCAGCCUCCGAUGGCCACCGACGGGGGCUCUUUAGGACUCCUUUAGCCCCGGUUGUAAAGCUAGUGGUCCUCGGGAUUCUGGUGAGGCGUUUUGUCCCGGUUGUAACUACCAACCGAGACUAAAGGGGGGGCCUUUAGUCCCGAUCAGUGUUUCCAACACAGACAAAAUGCUCCUCACCUCCACAUACACAAUGCGCGUGCCCCAAUUUCUCUCCUCCCUCCCCUUAAUUCCAGCGGCCAGGCCUCCUCUCCUUAAUUCCAACACCCACAUGCCUCCUCUCCUCCUCCCUUCACCCCCUACCUCCUCUCCUCCCUCUCUCUCUCUCCUCCGCCGGAUCCGGCCGGCCCCCACUCCCUCUCCCCAAGCUCCUCCCUCUCCCUCGGCCGAGGCGGGUGGCGCAGCCGGGGCCAGGGCGGCGUGGGUGGCCAGGGUCGGGGCCAGGGAGGAUGAUAGGUGGUUAUGAGGAUGAUACCUGCAGAUAAUACUUUUAAUCUCAAUUCUUACAGAAGAAUUGCACUAUGAACUACGCUUUCAUUUAUACCACACCGCUCAGCUAUAAAAAAUGGUGCAAAUCGACCAAAAUAAAUGAAUAAAUCACAUGGUUUAGACUGGUGGCAUAUGUAUGUUUGAUGAGUUUUGAAUCCCAACAGACCUCUGUUUGCUUAUCCAACCGGAGGAAAAACCUUUACUUACUAAAUCAGCUUUGCAUGCCAGGCUGCAAUUGUUAGAGCAGAAUUAGGUAAUUUGUGAACAUAAUUGAAUCAAAGUUUUGUCUCUGACAAGUAAUAGAAAAUGGUAAUGCUCCAUAGCAAGAACACGUUCCUACACUAGUUUAAAAAAUUCCCUGAAAUUGGGAACAAUGGUCAAGUCCAAACCAUACUUGCAACUUGGAGGACCGCUGGCCGAUGUAAGUCAAAGUCAAAAACAGAAGGAGACAGCGACGUCUCACCAGAUCACGAAUCAGAUGCGAUGCAUGUGCAUGUUCAGCAAGACAUUGAAAAGCAAGCUCUUCAAUACGCUCCAGCCCAGCUCCACCAUGGCUUUGGCAAUGCGCGUCAUGAGCUUGCUUCCUGCCACCAUCGCCGUGAUGAUCGCAGUGGCCUCUUGGGGAGCGCACGGCGGUGCCAGCGACGAGGCCAGCGCGCUGCUUGCUUUCAAGGCUCAGCUCGCCGGCAGCGGUUCCGGCAUGCUUGCAUCCUGGAAUGGCACCGCUGGCGUCUGCGGCUGGGAGGGCGUGGCGUGCACCGGCGGCCAGGUAGUGGCACUGAGCCUGCCCUCCUAUGGGCUCGCCGGAGCCCUCUCCCCGGCCAUUGGGAACCUCACUUUCCUGCGGACCCUGAACCUGAGUUCCAACUGGUUCCAGGGGGAGGUCCCAGCAAGCAUCGGCCGCCUAGCGAGUCUGCAGACGCUUGAUCUGAGCUACAAUACGUUCUCUGGUACGCUUCCUUCCAACCUCAGUGCCUGUGUCAGCUUACUGCUGUUGAGGCUCAGUAGUAACCGGUUCCAUGGGCGUAUCCCUGUUGAGCUUGGAGACAAGCUAACAAGUCUUCAGAUGUUGUCACUGCGCAACAACAGCUUGACGGGUGCCAUACCAGGAUCACUAGGUAACCUGUCAUCCCUGAUCUACCUUCAUCUGACAGAAAACCACCUCGAGGGUCCGAUCCCACAUGAACUUGGCAGCAUGGGCGGCCUGCAGGUCCUUUUCCUCUAUGAGAACAGACUCUCCGGUGUGCUUCCACACUCCCUGUACAAUCUGUCCUCACUGAAAAGCUUGUGGGUAGGAUACAACAUGCUGUCUGGAACCAUCCCUGCUGAUAUCGGCGAUAGGUUCCCCGGUAUGGAAGCUCUUGACUUUUCUAGCAACCGAUUCAGUGGAGCUAUCCCACCUUCGCUCGCCAACCUCUCUGCUCUCACAAAACUAGUCCUUCAAGGAAAUGAUUUUAUUGGAUAUGUGCCUUCUGCUUUGGGGAAGUUAAGUCUUACUGCCCUUUACUUGGGUGACAACAGGCUAGAAGCAAACGACAGUCAAGGGUGGGAAUUCAUAGCUUCACUGGCAAACAGCUCCCAGCUUCAGCUUCUUGUUCUCGGCAACAACUCUUUCAGCGGGCAACUGCCUAAUUCAGUCACAAACCUGUCAUCAACUCUGCAAGGUCUUUAUUUGGGACCCAAUAUGAUUUCUGGGAAUAUUCCAAUAAACAUCGGAAAUUUGGUUGGUCUUACAGUACUUGAGAUGGCAAAUACUUUUGUAUCUGGACAGAUUCCAGAGAGCAUUGGUCAGCUAAGAAACUUGGUUCAGCUAGCCCUUUACAACACUAGCUUGUCAGGCCUCAUACCUUCAUCACUAGGAAAUCUUACACAGUUGAAUAGCCUUUUAGCAUACUAUGGAAACUUAGAGGGGCCAAUUCCAUCAAACUUGGGGAACUUAAAGAAUGUGUUUUCCUUUGAUCUCUCAACAAAUCGACUCAAUGGUUCAAUUCCUAUAGAGGUUUUAAAACUUCCUCGACUUUCCUGGUACUUAGACUUAUCAUAUAAUUCAUUAUCCGGGCCACUUCCAACUGAGGUUGGUACCAUGGUGAAUCUUAACGAACUGAUUCUGUCUGGAAACAAGUUGUCAGGCACCAUACCAGCUAGUGUUGGGAACUGUAUAUCGUUGGUACGGCUGCUGCUCGAUAACAACUUAUUAGAAGGAAGCAUACCGCAAUCUCUGAAGAACUUAAAAGGUCUUGAAUUACUGAACCUAACAAUGAAUAAGCUAUCUGGUAGUAUUCCUGAUGCCCUUGCUAGCAUUGGCAACCUGCAACAACUGUAUCUUGCACACAACAACUUGUCAGGUUCCAUCCCCAAAGUUCUACAGAAUUUGACAUUGUUGGCAAAACUGGAUUUGUCCUUCAAUGAUCUGCAAGGCGAAGUGCCAAAAGGGGGUCCUUUUGCAAAUGCAACUCGCUUGUCACUUGAUGGAAAUGAUGAGCUUUGUGGCGGAAACCCUCAACUUCAUUUAGCUCCGUGCUCCACAGCUGCUGCGAGGAAGAACAGAAGGCGAAUGUCAAGAUCACUUAUGGUCACCGUUGCGUCAAUCUGCGCAUUUCUAUUCUUAGGUUUAAUAGUUUGUCUUAUCCAUUUGAUCCACAAGAGGCUCAGACAAGGAAAGGAAAAUCAACUCAUUCCCACAGCAAUUGAUGAACAGCACCAAAGGGUUUCAUAUCAAGCAUUAGCAAAUGGGACUGACCAUUUUUCGGAGGUUAAUCUGCUCGGACAAGGAAGCUAUGGUGCAGUUUAUAAGUGCACUUUACAUGACAAGGGAAUUACCGCAGCUGUAAAGGUAUUCAACGUACGGCAAUCUAGGUCUACUAGAAGUUUUGUGGCUGAAUGUGAGGCACUGCGAAGGGUGCGCCACCGAUGUCUCAUAAAGAUCAUCACCUGUUGCUUAAGCAUUGAUCACCAAGGCCAAGAAUUCAAGGCACUGGUUUUUGAGUUCAUGCCCAAUGGUAACCUAAAUGAUUGGCUGCAUCCAGCAUCCAAGAUACAGAGUCUGAGCAAUACGCUCAGCUUAGCUCAGAGACUGAACAUUGCGGUAGAUAUCAUGGAUGCUCUGGAUUAUCUUCACAAUCAGUGUCAACCGCCUAUUAUCCAUUGUGAUCUCAAACCAAGUAACAUCCUCCUUGCCGAAGAUAUGAGUGCUCGGGUUGGAGAUUUCGGCAUAUCAAAAAUCCUUCCUGAAGACACUAGCAAAACUCUGCUGAAUUCAGUUAGCUUCACUGGACUAAGAGGUUCCAUCGGAUAUGUCGCUCCAGGUAACAGAAACUAACACUGAUAUUGCUAUGUUCAGUUUUUAACUUCCAUUUUGCCAAGUCCAGUUAUCUCGGCAUGCACGUUGAUAAGUAGCUUGCCAUGAAUCCACUGACCAAAUAGUGUCUGAAAUCUGAAUUGACUGCAGAGUACGGCGAGGGUCGCGCUGUCUCAACUCUUGGAGAUGUUUACAGCCUCGGCAUACUGUUGCUUGAGAUGUUCACCGGGAUGAGCCCUACUGACGACAUGUUCAAAGGCUCCUUGGACCUUCAUAAGUUCGCCGAGGCCGCUCUCCCCGACAGAGCCUUGGAGGUAGCCGACCCGGCAAUCUGGUUUCAUGAAGAAGCAAAGGGGGAAAACCCUGCCACGGUGAGAAGCAGAAGCGAGAGGUGCUUGGCUUCAGUGAUCGGGCUUGGCGUGUCCUGCUCAAAGCAGCUGCCAAGGGAGCGGACGGCGAUGCGGGAUGCUGCCGCUGAGAUGCGUGCGAUCAGAGAUGCCUUCCUGGUUCAAUGUGCAACAGAGACUUGGCCUGCAGUCGGCACCACCGGCCUUGGAAGCGCAGACAGUUGAAUGGUGGACGGAGCUACGGUCUCUUGACGCACCAAGGAGCACUGGACUAGCAACUCUGCAACUAAACAGAGUGGAGAAAGAGCCCCUUAAUGAACAGAAAAACAGCCGGUGCAAGGCUUUAUACAAAGAAUGUGACAGCCACUGCGUGUAUCCGAGAGCCUUAUCUAAUCUACCAAGGAUUGUCCAUGUACUCCCUCCGUCCCAAAAUAAACACACAUGUCACUUGUCGAGGAGUCAAACUUUCUAAGUUUGACUAAAAUAAUGUACUACUAUUUAUAAUGUAUAAUAAGUAUCAUUAGAUUGAGUAUUGAGUAUACUUUUCUAAUACAUUUAUUUGAAGAUAUAAAUGUUGAUAUUAUUUUCUAUAUUCUUAAUCAAACUUAAAAACGUUUGACUCUCGAGAAGUGAGAUGUGCGUUUAUUUUAGGAUGGAGGGAGUACCCGUCACACGGAUUAGUUAUGAUAUAAGUAGGGACUAGCAAGCACCAAAACCCCAUUCACUGCCCAUGGAUCGCUCAAAUAAAAGAAACCAUUGCAUAUGGUGGUGAUGCGCUGGCGAGCCUUUCUCCAAACUUUCUGCUCUCGCGGACCUUGAACUCGCAUGGAACAAUUUUAGUGGAAGCGUGCCUCCACCUUUAUGGAGAUUGCGAAGCCUCAUUUACCUGUCCGUGGCAAUAAGCUAGGAUUGAAUGACAAGGACGGAUUGGAAUUCAUCACCAUGCUGGCAAACUGCAGUCAGCUUCAGCAACUGGCUUUUGACAAUAAUUCAUUCAUCGGGGAACUUCCUAGCUCAAUUGCAAAUCUAUGGACAACACUCCAAUUACUCUAUAUAGGAAACAAUUGGAUUUCGGGAUUUAUUCCAUCCAGCAUAGGUAAUUUGGUUGGUCUAGAACUGCUUACGUUGGCAAAUACUUUCAUAUCCGGAGUGAUUCCAGAUAGCAUUGGUCGCCUAGAAGGCAUGUCCGUGUUAGGCAUUUACUACACUAGCUUGUCAGGCAUCAUACCUUCAUCACAAGGAAACCUUACACAGUUGAAAGCUCUCUAUGCGUACGAUAGAAACUUGGAGGGUCCAAUUCCAGCAAGCUUGGAGAACUUAAAGAAUCUUUUUGUCCUUGAUCUCUCAACGAAAGUGUGUAACCUGCUAAGAUUUCAUGUCGAAGUAGAGCAUAAACCUCUCUCAAAAGACUGCGAAGCUACCAUAGAGUAGAUCAGUCUAAGGGUCGGACUAUACCCUAUCAACGCCUCCCCUCUUGCCCUUUCGAUAAGAUUACCCCAAAGGUCCAAACUAGAGUCUUUAAUUAAUUAACCAAGACCAAAGCCAUAUAGUUCUUGUGGUUGUACUAUUUUCCUGGGUGGUCGCUCCAUGUUCCAAUUAAGCAUGGCGGUCUUGUAUUAAUAAAAGGUAUAUCAUAAAUAAAACAAGUUUAAUCAUUGAGUUCAUUAAAACCAUCAUAACCCAAGGUAUUGCAACUAAGCAUAUCUACCCAAUAAAAAGGUAAAACCCAGGUUGACAAGGAAUGAUCAUAAAAACUAGGUCAAUAUUAAAUGCAGAGCAGUGUAGAAGUGAUUAAAUAUAGUUAUUGGUACAAAAACACAAACAAGGACACACUUGCCUUUCUCCAAAGAAUAGCUGCUCAGAUUAUCUUCAGCUCUUGUUCCUCAAAGCUCUCGAACAACGUUCCUUCUACUCGCAUCAAUCAUCGGCACAAGUAUACAAAGCAAACAACAAUCACAACUAAGAACAAUACAUCAAUCAUAGGAAAGCUUUAAAAGAGCGUACUAAAGGAUAAGGCUCGAAUCUAAGGUCACACGAAUGCAAGAAACGCUAGGAACGAAACUAUGGUUGAAAAGACAAAGCUAUCGAGAGAUUUGAAUUAUAAAAGAAAGAAAAGCCUAUGUGCUUCAUAUAUUUUAAUAAUGAAAAUAAUGUAAAGAUAUUUUAGAGAGACAUCCUUAGCAAGUUAUAUUUAUAUAUGAAAAGACGAUGUAGAAUAGUCAAAUUUUCUUUAUAAACAUUCAAGUACAAUUUAUGCAAAUUAAAUAUUUAAUUUGAAAAUAAAGUAUAUGUAAACAUCUAAGCGCAUAGCUUUAUGGUUAUGGUUCGGGUUGAACUAACCAAAUAUAAUUCAAAAACACAAUUAUUUUUAUAUUAGUCAAAUUAACAUAUAAUUAUGAAAACUCGAGAUAUAACUUAUGUAGCUUUUAUUUAGAAAACAAAUUGAAUAAAUAUUAAUCAAUUUAAGUUUAAUUAUGAACCACCGUGGUGCAUCUCUAAUUCGCUUUUAAUUGAAAGAGUUGUUUAAUUAAGCAUUAACUAAAUUAACAUUUAUUAUGAAAAGCGGUUAUAACACUAAGUAGCUUUUAAUUAAAGAAGACAUGUUUAACAUGCAUUAAUUAUAUUAAUAUUAAAUUAAUUUUAAAAACAUGCAUGAUGGAAGGAUCACUACUAACAUGUAAUUUGUGUUAUCACGAACCUAACUCAACAAGAACGGAUAUAAACGAAGCUGUAAUGAGGAGCCUAUGGGUUAAACAAGGUCGUAGGGCCUAAUCACGAUUAACGGAAGGUUAUUGGGGUUAGCAAGGAAGAUUUGCAAGACACUAUAAUAGAGCUCGCCAUUAGGUCAAAGCAUAGGGUUAGAUCUAUUAAAGUGCUCAGGUUGGACUUGGUUGCACGGAUCCAAUCUAAUGAGGGACAUGGAUGAAAAAAACAAGACACAAGGAAAAACUAACUAUUUACAAAGCUUUCCGGGGCCUAUGCGCAAAAGCACCACAACUCAGCAUCCAUGGCGGACGGGCUCCUGGAUGGCAAAAUCCUCGUGUCGGAUUUAUAAGCCCACAGUCCACCAAGGGGUUACCCAAGUCGUUGAUUGUGGCGGAACCGCCCAAAUUAACCUGACUAAAAUGCAUUGAAGUCGCCUGACACGCGAUUAUGCACUUUAAGCAAGUCAACUUGGUCGACCGUCGGAUUUCCUCCGAUAAACCACAUAAACAGGAUCGAGAAGCAUCGCUCACGCGAAGGUGAGUAGCACAGAGGUUACAACAAUCCAUCAUGACAACAUAGUUCAACAAUUUAUUACAUCAGAGUUUUUGAAAUUCAAACCGAAAUUUGCAUGGUUCGAAGUCAAAGGAAAACAGCGGAAACUAAACGUCGAUACAUGACAUCACGACGGAGCCGAUCAUGACAUCAAAAAUUUCUUCCUUCGCCAUCCGAGGAAGGAUCCCACUCGACGGUCCAGCCUGGAGGAAGCUGGGUCGGCCAAGUGGUACCAACACCCAAACUAUUGACAUUACCUGAAAAAGAUUAGCCACAACAAGGCUGAGCAACUAGUACUCAGCAAGACUGACCCGUCGGAAAGACACGACCGAGACCUAGACAUGCAAGGCUUUCUGGCUCUGGGGUUUUCUUUGCCAAAAGCGUCUAAAGUCAGUCCUUAUUUUCAACAUUUUAGCUCAUGUUCUAUGUUCUUUAUCCAUUCUAGAUUAGCAACUUAUACUAAACAAACAUGGUUUCCAAGCAAUUACUUAACAAGCAUCAAGAUUAAAAUCAUCAUCAUCAUGUUCCAUCUUUACUCAGUGCAGAAUAGCGAUCAAGUAGUCCCAAUCUGUGAGAGGCAGACGAAUCGAUUCGAAUUUAUUAACCAUGCAUGGCAAACCUAAUCUCACGACAUCCGCGCACCACGAAGGGUCGCUUCAUUUGUCAGCCGUCCCCAUCGAUCCCUUAGGCACGUGUCAGGGCCAACUUCCUUUGGCAUGCAAUGCUCCACAGUCCUGGCCUAUUGCUGCACUGUGACCGCACUUGCACCCACAUGAUGCACCAUGGGAACGACGUUCCAAGGACAGCCGGAGGGUAUGCCACGCCCCAGUUCAAUCAGGUACUAGGCUUCCCCAUCCCAUACUAGGUAUGAGAUUAGUACUUUCAAACACUUGAUCACGAACGCCGACACGUUUCGACCAUAGUUCAUUUUCAUUUAGACAGACGGGGCAAUCCACCAAGUAUCGAACACAAGCCUGACCCCGUCCGUCGUCCUUAUAGUUGCGACAUAUCUGAAAUAUUCAACUCCUAUAACUCGCGAGUGACAGGAGAUCACUCGACUUUUACCGAAACCUAUUAAGCAAUGCAACUACUCGGCAAGGUCUUCUUCCGGCGCCGGGUGAAGCUCGUACGUUCCGUCGGCGAGAUUCAACUCUACACGAAAAUGCAAUGCUGGGGUUAGACAUUUUAGAUGGUUAUUUCAACACACUCAUGUUUUAACACGGACACUUUGCUACAGGAAAGGUGGGGGAGUUCAACUUCUGUUGGUGGAGAACAGGAUGAGAGGGUCGGAUUGGGGGAAACUUAGGGUCUGACCCUCAGGUUUAAGGAAAAACCGUACCGAGGUCGUCAGACUCAACACAGAGGAAUCCCCAAAAUUAUUUCAUCGUACCCUCGGGUCAAAGAAAAAGUUACAACCGAGCCCUCGGGCGAGGCGGAGAAAGGGUCGGCGAAACUUGGCAGGGUCGGGCGAGGCGAAAGGAAAAAGGUCGGGCGAGAUGAAAAGAAAAGGGGUCGGGCGAACCGAAACAAAGGGGUCGGGCGAAACGAAAAGGAAGGGGUCGGUCGAGAGGGAACACAAGGGGUCGGUCGAGACGGAACACAAGGGGUUGGUCGCUUACCUCCAGGUCUACCGGUGAAGCCUUGGGGCCGAACAGGAGUAGGCUGGGGUGGGAAGUCGUACACGCUAAGUCUUGGGCAACGGCGAGUCUUCGACGGUGGUCAGGUGGCGGUGGUGCUUCUUGCGGACACCAGCAAGCUCGAGUACCGUGCGGAGGAGCGGGCGGCUGGUCUGUUGGGAGAAACGGCUUGAGGGUGGCGGCGAAGUCGCCGAAGUGUGGGGGUGGUGUAAAAGGGGUGAGCUCCACGGAAGCUCAGCGGCGGCGCGGGGAGAAAGCGGCGGCGCAGGUGCGGGCGGUGGCAAGGGGUGGCAUUGCCGGUGAGGGGGGUUCCCUUUUAUAGGGUCGGGGUGGCGCGGAGGGUCGAGGCGGGGCUUCGGUGGGGAAAGGAUAAGGCCGGGAGCGGCGAGUGCGCGGACAAGGCGGCCAUUGGCCAGCAACGCCAUUGGGCAGAGGAGGUGGAGCUCCGGGUGGUCUUCGGCGGCGAUUGGCCUUGGGCGACGCCCGUCUGGGGCUUCCGGUCUGUCGGGCGGGCGAGGCGGAGAGCUACCGUGGGGGUUGGGCGAACGGGCGGAGGCGCGGGAUGUCGGGGGCGUGUCAGCUUUCUCGGCGGACGGGCGGAACAGGGUUGGCGGAGCAGAGCCGUGGCAGGCGGAAGGCGGCACGCGCGCAGCCGGCGGUUGGCUGGCCCGGCGUUCGCUCCGUCCUGUCGCAGGCGCGGGUUGGGCGCCGUGGCUCUCGUCCUGUCGCUGUCGUGCUGGGGAUAGGGCGCCGGCGAGCUGCCGGUGGCCGGCGGCCACGUGGCGCGCGGUGCGCGAGCGAACAUGCUCGGGCGUGCGGGCGUCGAGGCUCCCUUCGGGCAGCAAGCCCGACCAGCUUUGGAGUGAUCCUUCCUCCGAAUCUUUCAACACAACUUCCGAAACUCCCUUAAACAAACUUGCUCAACUCUGAUUGUUCUUCAAACUUUGUUUAAGGUGCUGGUUUAGAUUGUGAAAGGAUUCAAAGAUAUUUCCGGCCAAGUUAGCCAAAAAUCUGGGAUUCCAGACUUAGGAUUUAAGGCAUCCGGGGUGAGUUGACUGGUUUACCUCACUUUGACCGGGAUUUUGAACAAGUUCGGGUCCGAUUUGGAUCUGGGUCAGAGUAACAAAGUUGGAAUACACUCGAGGUACUACAACUUUCAUUAAGGCUCUGACUUGGGUUUAGAUAGGAAAACGGGAUAUGAAAGCUUGUAAAGAUGGAGGAAAACUCGAAUUCCAGGACUUAAGAGAUUUUCAGGGUCCUUUAGAAAAACCGGCUUUGGUUGCUGUUUUUGACUUCCUUCCACUCCGAAUUGGUCAAAGUGCUUUUAACAAAAGUUGUUGGAAUUAAAAAGUUUUACAACUCUUAUUUGGGCAGAAACUUAAGUUUGUAUAUAAUAUUUCAAGAUUUAAAUCAAACUCCAAAAGGAGCUUCUUAGGUUUAUAAAGGUCAUUUCACUUCUUAAAUUAGGGAUUUAUCACUGGUUUAGAGUUAAAAGUACUUAAUUUAGGUAGAGUUGUUACAGCCUACCCCCCUUAAAGGAAUCUUGCCCCGAGAUUCAAGUGCAGAAGGAACUAGUGUGGUUGGUGCAAUGUACCUCCUUGCUCGAAAAGAAAACCGCGGAAGUUAGCGUUGAGGUACUCUUCCGUCUCCCAGGUCGCUUCAUCUUCCGUAUGGUUACUCUACUGAAUUUUGUACAUCUUGACCAUUUGCCGACGAGUAUGUCUUUCCUUGCGGUCGAGGAUCUUAACAGGAUACUCCUUAUAUGAUAAAUCGGGUUCGAUCUCCAAUUCUUCCGGGGGAAUGAUUUCAGUUGGAAUCCUGAUGCACUUCUUAAGUUGCGAGACAUGGAAAACAUCAGGUAUUGCUACAAUCUUCUCUGGAAGUUUAACUCGGUACGCUAUGGGUCCACACGCCUCUACGAUCUCAUAGGGACCAAUAUAGCGCGGAGCUAACUUUCCCUUUACUCCAAAACGUUGUACACCUUUGGUCGGUGAAACCCGUAGGUAUACAAAAUCCCCAACCUUAAAUUGGAUGGGUCUUCUUCUUUGAUCGGAAUAGCUCUUGUGUCGAGAUUGGGCGGCCUUGAGAUUUUCGCGGAUGACUCUCACUUUUUCUUCGGCCUCUAUGACCAGGUCAGGUCCAUACACCGUUCGCUCUCCGGGUUGCGACCAGCUCAGUGGGGUCCGGCAUCUACGUCCAUACAAGGCCUCGAAAGGUGCCAUUUUCAGGCUAGCUUGGUAACUGUUGUUGUAGGAGAAUUCCGCUAAUGGCAAAUACCCCAGUUCUUGUCAUAAUGAAUAACACAGGCGCGUAACAUAUCUUCCAAAAUCUGAUUAACCCUUUCAGUUUGCCCGUUGGUCUGAGGAUGAUAUGUGGAACUACGGAUCAAUUGAGUGCCAAGUGAAAACUGCAACUGCUCCCAAAAGCGUGCUACAAACUGACUACCUCGAUCAGAGAUGAUCAUUUUAGGUACUCCAUGCAAGGAAACAAUCCGAUCAAGGUACAAUUCUGCAUAUUUCUGUAUGGUGUGGGUGGUGUGUACUGGAAGGAAAUGUGCCGUUUUGGUUAGUCGGUCUACUAUAACCCAUAUGGAGUCAUGCUUGCGGGGGGUAUUGGGUAGUCCGACUAUAAAGUCCAUGCUUAUGUCUUCCCAUUUCCACGAGGGAAUAGGCAGCGGCUGCAAGGGGCCAGCUACCCUCAAGUGGCUUGCCUUGACUCGCUGACAGGUAUCACACUCUGAAACAUAGCGUGCAAUGUCGGGUUUCAUCCCACUCCACCAGAAAUUUUGUCGGAGGUCGUGAUACAUCUUGGUAUUGCCGGGGUGAAUCGAGAACUUGGAUAGGUGUGCUUCGUGCAGAAUUUGUCUCUUAAGCUCGGGAUCAUUUGGAACUACAAGUCGAGCUUCAUAAUGUACCACUCCUUUCCAGCCCUGUCGGAAACGUUUAUAUCCCUCAUCCUUCUGUGCAAGUUUCCCUUUGAUAAUGUUUAUCUCUUUGUCCUCUAGCUGUGCUAGAAUGAUUUGGUCAAGUAGGGUGGGCUCUAGAGAAAUAUGACUUAAGGUGUCGUGUGGAACAAUUUCCAAGUUGAGUCUAGCCAUUUCGUGACACAGGGUCUCGGCAUAAUUACUCGCCGAUAAGCAGUUACAAUGGAUCUUGCGGCUAAGGGCAUCUGCAACUAUGUUGGCUUUUCCUAGGUGAUAAUGCACUUCUAGGUCAUAAUCCUUGAUUAAUUCUAGCCAUCACCGCUGAUGCAUGUUGAGGUCUUCUUGAGUGAAUAUAUACUUAAGGCUCUUGUGAUCUGUAUAGAUGUUGCAUCGGGUUCCCAUGAGUUAAUGCCUCCAUAUUUUCAGAGCAUGAACGACUGCCGCUAACUCAAGAUCAUGAGUAGGGUAAUUCAACUCAUGUGGUCGUAAUGCUCGCGAGGCAUAGGCAAUGACUCGGCUGUCUUGCAUAAGAACACAACCAAGUCCAGUGCCAGAGGCAUCGCAAUACACAUCAAAUGGCCUAGUGGUGUCGAAAACUUCGAAUCUGAUGAACUGAAGUGGGCGGCUUCCAGUCCAUUACUUCUUGCACCUUGCUUGGGUCUACUGCUAUACCGUCUCUGGAUAUGGUGUGUCCCAAGAAUUUAACACUGUCCAGCCAAAAGUCACACUUAGAGAAUUUGGCAUAGAGUUGGUGGUCUCUUAAGCGUUGGAGUAAAGUAUGUAGGUGCUCUGCAUGUUUUUCUUCAUUCUUCGAGUACACCAAGAUGUCGUCAAUGAAUACCACGACGAAUUUGUCGAGUUCGGGCAUAAACACCGAAUUCAUGAGGUACAUGAAAUAAGCCGGUGCAUUAGUAAGCCCAAAUGACAUGACUAAGUACUCGUAGAGUCCAUAUCGUGUAGAAAAGGCAGUCUUUGGAAUGUCGCACGGGCGGAUCUUGAUUUGAUGGUAGCCAGAACGGAGGUCAAUUUUGGAAAACACUCUAGCUCCAGCUAAUUGGUCGAACAGAACAUCAAUGCGGGGUAGUGGGUACUUAUUCUUUAUCGUCACCGCAUUGAAAGGUCGGUAGUCCACACACAUACGCAGACUAUCGUCCUUCUUUUUCACAAACAAGGCAGGGCAACCCCAAGGUGAUGUACUUGGGCGAAUAAAACCCUUUUCCAACAAAACAUGCAACUGAGUUUUCAUUUCUGCUAGUUCGGCUGGUGGCAUCCGGUAUGGUCUCUUUGAAAUUGGGGCGGUACCUGGUUGCAACUCAAUGGCAAACUCGAUGUCUCUCUCAGGCGGCAUACCCGGCAAAUCGUCUGGAAACACAUCCGGGUACUCGCACACUACUGGGAUAUCUUCCAAUCGGGCUUUAGACACGGGAUAGGCACAAGAAGUUUGGCACUCUCGGGGAGGUAAGUGUAUAGUCGAGCUACCAUACUUGGGUGAAUUUAUAUGGAUUGCCCUGGCAGGGAUAUCUAGGGUCACUUGGUGUCGGGUCAUCCAAUCCAUACGCAAGAUAACAUCUAUUCCUUCUAUCCCAAGGGUAAGCAGAUCUUCCUUAAGAAGGGUCCUCCCUAACUGGAUAGGUACUCUGCAGCUUACUUGGUGUGAAGUUACCUUUCCACCCGGGGUAGAGAUUAUGUAGGUACCUUUGGUGUGACAGAAAUCUAACCCACACUUAGCACUGAUUCUAGUCCCAAUGAAACUAUGAGAUGCUCCCGAAUCAAACAGAAUAAGGACGGGUUGAUCACAGAUAGAAAAGGUACUCGUCAUCACUGGUGCGCCCUCUGGAAGUUCAGCAAGGGUGGUGAAGUUCAGCCUGCCUUGUCGGACCUGCACCUUUGGCUUCUUCCCCUUGUUGCCCAGUGUAUGGCUCUGACUGGGUCGUUGAUUCUGGUUGCGGGGGCAGUCCUUGGCGAAGUGUCCUGGGUUCCCGCAAGUGAAACAGCGGUUUCCAGUGACCGGGCGCAGCGGCAUCGGGAGAGCAGGGCGGGGUCCUUGCGGCUGGAAUCCGGGGAAACGAGGUGCUGCCUGCGGUGGAGGUCGAGCAACCCAUCUCCCAGGCUGUGCGGGCGUGCGAGGUGCUUGUGGGGAAACCAUUCUGUACUUCUGGGCAGGCGGGCUGGGUGCCGGCAUUGGGGCCUUCCUUUUCAUGUCGGCCUUGAGGGCCCUCAUGCAAUCUUCCUGGGAAAUGGCCAGGUUCACCAGUUCAUUGUAGGAACCCACUUUGAUGGGAUUCAGCCUUUCCUUGAGCUUCAAACUCAAGCCUCUGCGGAAACGGUCCCUCUUUUUCUCAUCGGAGUCCGCAUGGUAGCCUGCAUAGCGACACAGGUCAUUGAAAGCCUGCGCAUAGUGCAGACAUCGCGGCCUCCCUGGGUGAGAGCCAGGAACUCGUUGAGCUUGCGCUCCAGAAGACCUUCAGGGAUGUGAUGGCCCCUGAACGCCGUCUUGAAUUCCUCCCAACCGACGACGUGGUCGGCCGGCUGCAUGGCAUGGUAGUGAUCCCACCACAGGAGAGCAGAACCACGCAACUACUGCGCGGCGAACCGAACCUUGUUCUCGUCCGGGCAGUAGGCGGUGAGAAGGGAGAACUUGGACUCGAUAGUGCGAAUCCAGGCAUCGGCGUCAAGUGGGUCCUCCGUCUUGUGAAAUAGAGGAGGCUGGGUCCCCAGAAAAUCUUCGUAACGAGCAACAUGGGGCUGUUGAUGGGCCCUUCCUCCCUGAGGCUGCUGCUGCUGCUGCCCCUGAGCGAUGUGCCUCAACAGCUCGGUCUGGGCUGCCAAGAUCGACUCGAGGGUGGUCGGAGGCGGAGGUGGGGGAGGCACCUCGCUGCCACUGGGAACGGAGCCGGAGCGUGUGCGAUGCGCCAUCCUUGGGCGAGCCAAAACCUUAUCCCCGGGGUCUCACUAAUUCCGACCUCUGGUGCCGGGGUCGGGCGAAACGGAGCUUCUCAACACGGGAUCGGACAAAACGGAGCCUUUCAUCCCGGGGUCGGGCGAGGCGGAGACCUGCCGCGAGGGGUCGGGCGCGUCCGACCUCGCGACUCGGGGUCGGUCAACUUUGGACAGGCCCACAGGAGACGGGUGUGUGGUCACAGCACCAAAACCCACACAACUUGGCAUUCACGGCGCGUCGCAAAGGGUCAAAAGUCGAGUCAAGAGUGAAAGAAAAACAGGAACUGCUUUCACCAAGAUCAUUUCAUUGCUGGUCUUAAAAUAUAGGAGGAGUACUCAACUCAAGGCUAACCUAUUACAUCAUUGGCCAAAAAUAUAGGUCGUCGAGGAGUACAAUCAAAAAUAAAAUAGAACCGCUCAACCUAGUUUGUUAUAACUAGAAGUCGUCGAGGUUGCCCACGGAGGCAAAGCUAAGGACCGGAGAGUGAGCAUCACCAACUGGAGGCUGCGGUGAGGCAUUCUCAUAGUCCAUGCUUGAAAAGCCUUCGAUCUCCUCAGGCUCCUCCUCCUGGGCCAUCGGCUCAUCCAGCUGCACCUCUAAGGCGUGGAUGGCAUUAAGCUCAUCGUGAUGCUCCUGCAGGUGCUCAUUGGCGUUCGCCAGCUCCAUGUUCACAUCAUAGAACUGGUCAGCCAAGAUCUCCAUAUCGUGAUCCAUAUCCACAAUCUCUUCCUCCAAACGAGUAAUCUUGUCCUGCAUCUCAGCAAUCUGAACAUCCUUCUGUACCAGCUCGAGCGACUGGUCCACCAUGCCACUCUGCACGGUAGACAAGGCAACCUGGUUGGCCACUGCCAUCCCAAUCACCAUAGCCAUCGCUCGGCUCUGCAGCUCAACCAUCCUGUAGAACACAUUCAGGCAACGAGCUGAAACAAAAAUCGUGCACUGAGGAUCCAUAAGCCCGAGCAAGUCCAUAUGCUCCAUACGAUCCAACCAGUCCGGGUCCCUCGUACCCCGGGCAGGGAACAACCCAAUCGGGUCUAGCAUGAUCUCAAGAGGGUGUGCCCAGCAAAACUGGGUCAAGGUCUGCAAGGCUGCGAACUCCCAGGCGUCGUGGAGCGUGUGUCCCUCAGCCACUACCUCCAACAGCGACAACGGUGGCUGAUCCGGAGGCGGGGGUACCCGCACGUGUAUGCGGCUCCGCGGAAUCCCGUGGUCCUGGUACGCACGGCCCGCAUAAACCGGCGGCGACUGGUACCCGAAAGAGCGCAGGGUGUCCCACAACACAGUUGGAAAACCCUCGUAGUGAAGGCACCGUGAGUAGGUGGUGCCCUCCGUACCGACUGCCACGUGCACGGGCUGCGCCAUCUGUAACCAAGGGUCACGUGAGAAAUGGGGUUAACACUUGGAAAUCAAACAGAUUUCUGGCAGUUAGAGAAAAGCUCAUAACUCAGCAAGUAUUCCUCCAAAAUUUCUCAAAUUUUACCAGCAUGUUCUUUAGAUAGUGGGUAACAAGUUUGGUAUUCAAAGGUAGGGCUAGAACAGACCUAACAAGGUGAUAAUCUCAGAUUCCCAUUAAGUAUACCUGCUGGAACUCUUCAGACCGAGUCAAGAUAAACUGAAUACAUCUUCCAAACCAGAGACUUAACAAAACCGAAACUCUACCAGUAAGUCCUUCACUAAGUUCUAAAAAACUCUGCUUAAAGGACUCCUCGCAGAAAAGGUCCUUAAGGUGGUCGAAAUAGCAGAAACUCCGUUGGUGUGCACUUUGGGCUAACAGCCAACAGGGGGUCACCAAACUGAUCACAACUCUCAACCCAAAUGGUAGUACCUUGAGGCAGUUUUACUUGGGAGUUUUAACACAACUUUCUUAUACAAAGUUUCUGGAGUUAGCAUGGCGGAAAAAGGACAGCUAGACAAUCCUUAACGCGGUGCAUUACUUUUUACGACGUACUCGAGUUUGGUUUUAUUUCCUUAGGUUGUGAUUUUUAUUUCUUAAUGCAUGCACGUCCUAGUCGUCCUCUCAACCAAAAAUAAUUUCCAAAAACCUUUGGACUUACGUGGUCAGUGCCGGUGGCAAGGCAACAAUACGGCUCUCACUAUAAUAGCUAGUCGAGUUACUAGGCCUCGUUUCGAACGCAACGUUUGUUAGUGUACCUGCAGAAAAACACAACACAGCUUGAACCUUCCGUGCCAGCACUCAUGAAAGCGUCCACAAUCAUUACCGUUCACUAUAGAAAUGGCACCCAUGCGUUUAACACUGCAUGGACAGUGCAACAACCGUGGAAAUAGGUUCCUUUGAAUAGAAUCCUAUAACCCUUCGCAUUCUCGUGAUGCAGAAUCAUGCACACGUGUAACAAACGUGGGCGAACAACCGUGACGAUAGGCUCGUUGGAAUCGAACCAUACCAUCCUUCGCAUGUAUUAACAUACGGAACCUGCGCACGUAUAAUAGAUGUGGGCGAAACAACCGUGAUGAUAGGCUCGUUGGAAUCGAAUUCCCAUCACCCUUCGCAUACUCGCGAUGCGGAUUUCGGCACACGUAUGAUAGACAUGGCAACAAGUGCUGGAAGUUAGAAGAUAACCAAUAACUAUUAGCCACCUUAAAAAUAACCCCAAAAUCCCCUAGGGCUCCUCGAACUAAACUCAUCCUUAGCGAACUUACGAAUUUCUCAAUUUUACUUCUUCCAAAUUUUAGUUGGAAAAAGAGUUUUAAGGUUUGUUGUUCUCCGUACUGUGCUUCGAGCUCUGAUACCAGCUGUGGCGGAACUGCCCAAAUUAACCUGACUAAAAUGCAUUGAAGUCGCCUGACAUGCGAUUAUGCACUUUAAGCAAGUCAACUUGGUCGACCGUCGGAUUUCCUCCGAUAAACCACAUAAACAGGAUCGAGAAGCAUCGCUCACGCGAAGGUGAGUAGCACAGAUGACAACAUAGUUCAACAAUUUAUUACAUCAGAGUGUUUGAAAUUCAAACUGAAAUUUGCAUGGUUCGAAGUCAAAGGAAAACAGCGGAAACUAAACGUCGAUACAUGACAUCACGACGGAGCCGAUCAUGACAUCAAAAAAUUUCUUCCUUCGCCAUCCGAGGAAGGAUCCCACUCGACGGUCCAGCCUGGAGGAAGCUGGGUCGGCCAAGUGGUACCAACACCCAAACUAUUGACAUUACCUGAAAAAGAUUAGCCACAACAAGGCUGAGCAACUAGUACUCAGCAAGACUGACCCGUCGGAAAGACAUGACCGAGACCUAGACAUGCAAGGCUUUCUGGCUCUGGGGUUUUCUUUGCCAAAAGCGUCUAAAGUCAGUCCUUAUUUUCAACAUUUUAGCUCAUGUUAUAUGUUCUUUAUCCAUUCUAGAUUAGCAACUUAUACUAAACAAACAUGGUUUCCAAGCAAUUACUUAACAAGCAUCAAGAUUAAAAUCAUCAUCAUGUUCCAUCUUUACUCAGUGCAAAAUAGCGAUCUAGUAGUCCCAAUCUGUGAGAGGCAGAAAAUCGAUUCGAAUUUAUUUACCAUGCAUGGCAAACCUAAUCUCACGACAUCCACGCACCACGAAGGGUCGCUUCAUUUGUCAGCCGUCCCCAUCGAUCCCUUAGGCACGUGUCAGGGCCAACUUCCUUUGGCAUGCAAUGCUCCACAGUCCUGGCCUAUUGCUGCACUGUGACCGCACUUGCACCCACAUGAUGCACCAUGGGAACGACGUUCCAAGGACAGCCGGAGGGUAUGCCACGCCCCAGUUCAAUCAGGUACUAGGCUUCCUCAUCUCAUACUAGGUAUGAGAUUAGUACUUUCAAACACUUGAUCACGAAGGCCGACACGUUUCGACCAUAGUUCAUUUUCAUUUAGACAGACGGGGCAAUCCACCAAGUAUCGAACACAAGCCUGACCCCGUCCGUCGUCCUUAUAGUUGCGACAUAUCUGAAACAUUCAACUCCUAUAACUCGCGAGUGACAGGAGAUCACUCGACUUUUACCGAAACCUAUUAAGCAAUGCAACUACUCGGCCUUAGCAACUAGUAUUCAAAAACAAGGUACUAAGUUUAUGCAUCUAAGGUUCCAUUACAACUCCUCGAAACGUAAAUGCGCAAUCAAGUAAUCAAUAAUAUUGCAUGAACUCAAGAUAGGAAUUUAUGCUCCGGGGCUUGCCUUCAGGAAAAGCUUGCGGGUCCUCGGGGUCUUGCUCCGGUUCGGGCUCUCCUUCGAAGGGAUGCAGUUCCUCGGCGGGGUCUUCUUUCGGCGCCGGGUGAAGCUCGUACAUUCCGUCGGCGAGAUUCAACUCUACACGGAAAUGCAAUGCAGAGGUUAAACAUUUUAGAUGGUUAUUUCAACACACUCAUGUUUUAACACGGACACUUUGCUACAGGAAAGGUGGGGGAGUUCAACUUCUGUUGGUGGAGAACAGGAUGAGAGGGUCGGAUUGGGGGAAACUUAGGGUCUGACCCUCAGGUUUAAGGAAAAAUCGUACCGAGGUCCUCAGACUCAACACAGAGGAAUCCCCGAAAUUAUUUCAUCGAUACCCUCAGGUCAAAGAAAAAGUUACAACCGAGCCCUCGGGCGAGGCGGAGAAAGGGUCGGCGAAACUUGGCAGGGUCGGGCGAGGCGAAAGGAAAAAGGUCGGGCGAGACGAAAAGAAAAGGGGUCGGGCGAACCGAAACAAAGGGGUCGGGCGAAAUGAAAAGGAAGGGGUCGGUCGAGACGGAACACAAGGGGUCGGUCGAGACGGAACACAAGAGGUCGGUCGCUUACCUCCAGGUCUACCGGUGAAGCCUUGGGGCCGAACAGGAGUAGGCUGGGGUGGGAAGUCGUACGCGCUAAGGCUUGGGCAGCGGCGAGACUUCGACGGUGGUCCGGCAGCGGCGGUGCUUCUUGCGGACACCAGCAAGCUCGAGUACCGCGCGGAGGAGCGGAUGGCUGGUGUGUUGGGAGAAACGGCUUGAGGGUGGCGGCGAAGUCGCCGGAGUGUGGGGGUGGUGCAAAAGGGGUGAGCUCCACGGAAGCUCAGCGGCGGCGCGGGGAGAAAGCGGCGGCGCAGGUGCGGGCGGUGGCAAGGGGUGGCAUUGCUGGUGAGGGGGUUCCCUUUUAUAGGGCCGGGGUGGCGCGGAGGGUCGAGGCGGGGCUCCGGUGGGGAAAGGAUAAGGCCGGGAGCGGCGAGUGCACGGGCAAGGCGGCCAUUGGCCGGCGACGCCAUUGGGUAGAGGAGGCGGAGCUCUAGGUGGUCUUCGGCGGCGAUUGGCCUUGGGCGGUGCGCGUCUGGGGCUUCCGGUCUGUCGGGCGGGCGAGGCGGAGAGCUACCGUGGGGGUUGGGCGAACGGGCGGAGGCGCGGGAUGUCGAGGGCGUGUUAGCUUUCUUGGCGAACGGGCGGAACAGGGUUGGCGGAGCAGAGCCGUGGCAGGCGGAAGGCGGCACGCGCGUGGCCGGCGGUUGGCUGGCCCGUUCGCUCCGUCUUGUCGCAGGCGCGGGUUGGGCGCCGUGGCUCUCGUCCUGUCGCUGUCGUGCUGGGGAUAGGGCGCUGGCGAGCUGCCGGUGGCCGCUAGAUUUUUCUCACUAUGAAUAUAAUUCAUAGCAAUUACUUUGGAGUUUUUCAGCUUUCUAACAGAUUUAAGCCUCCGCUUCACAUGCCUCGAGGACUUCAUAUUAUCCUUAGUACUCAUAACUUUGAUCAAUACCGUUUGGUUAUCAUAGUACAUAAGGAUUGCCGGAACUGGUUUCUCCACCAGUGGCAAGUCCAUGAGUAGCUCUCUUAGCCACUCGGCCUCAACAGUAGCCGUGUCAAGUGCUACAAGCUCAGCUUCCAUGGUUGACCACGUCAAAAUGGUCUGUUUACACGACCUCCAUGAAACUACAGCACCUGCUAGUGUAAACAUAUAGCCACUCGUGGCUUUAAUUUCAUCCGCAUCAGAAAUCUAGUUGGAAUCACUAUAUCCUUCCAAUGCAGAUGGAUAACCAGUAUAGUGAAUUCCAUAUUCGAUUGUACCUCUCAUGUAACGUAGCACUCUCUCUAGUGCCUCCCAAUGAUCCUUCCCUGGAUUGGAAGUUAAACGACUUAAUUUGCUCACAGCAAAAGAUAUGUCGAGACAUGUUGCACCAGCAAGAUACAAAAGGGACCCAAUUAUUUGUGAAUAUCUCAAAUGGUCCAUCCCUUCAUCUUUAUUUUUCCUUAGCUUUACACUAGCAUCGUAGGGUGUAGGGGAUACUUUUGCAUUUUCAAAGCAAAAGCGACAAAAUAAUUUUUUCACAUAAUGAGAUUGAUUUAGAAUAAUCCCAUUCUCAUUUUUGGUCAACUUAAUAUUUAGGAUAACACUUGCUUCUCCCAGAUCCUUCAUGUCGAAGCCUGAAGAUAAGAAUGAUUUGACCUUCAAGCCCACUGCACACCGAAUUCGAAGGUCGACAAGGCGCCAUAGCAAGAGAUUCAGCACAGCGAGUGGGAAGACGAGCGUGUAACAGCGUCCAUUCAACCAGGACAUCUCCUGGUGUUAUAGACCUUCGUAGUGCAUCAGUUUCCCCAUCAAACAGCCUCAUCAAGCAGUAGAAACUGCCAAUUUGAACGAUAGAAACGGCUUCCAUCAAAUUGUUGAAACUGACACACCUUAUUGCUGUUUAAAACGGCAAUUUCAAUCACAUUGAAUUGCCAUUAGGCUCAGCAUAAAAAAAAUAAUAACUGCACAAACAAUAGUCACAACUCACGCGAUUUUCCACGUGAAAAUGUGCGUGAGCUUCAUGUGCGUGUAGCAACAAUCUCCUUCUCUCUCAUUUGCAUCUAUUUUGCAUAGAGAGGAGACUCCCAUAUUUAAGCAAGGCAACCUCUCCUUGAAUUAGCAAUAUAAGACUAAAGGUUGUGUAUGCUUUGGAAUUUUCUAAUUGGGCCACAUAUGGGCCUAAAUCCAAGACGGUGAAGGUUCUUCUAUCUCAACUCAAGGUGACGUUUAUAGCCUCGGCAUAUUGCUUCUUGAGAUGUUUACUGGAAGGAGCCCAACGGAUGAGAUGAGAUAUUCAAUGAUUCUUUGGAUUUGCACAAGUUUUCAGCGAAUGCUCUUCCAGAGAGAAAACGGGAUAUAGUUGAUCCGACAAUAUGGAUGCACACAGAUGCCUAUAACAGCACUAUAAGAAGUGGAAUUAAGAAUUGCUUGCUUUCUGUUGUUUGUCUUGAAAUAUCAUGCUCGAAGAAACAACCUAGGGAGCAGAUCCCGAUUCAGGAUGCAGCCAUUGAGAUGCACGCUAUUAGAGAUUCGUAUCUCAAGUUUGCCAGAUCUCUUUUGGUGGAGCAUGGAGUAGUAGCAACAACUCACAGUGAUUUCCCACAACAGUGAAUACAUAGGACUGAAAAUGGGCAAGAUGUUGCAGGUGAUCAGUUUACCUGAAAUAACUGAAGAUGUAUGAAGCUUCAGCUUUAUAAUUCGUCCAUGCAUUUGUUUGCAUCAGAUAUAUGGAAGUAUAAAAUAAGUUUAGAAAAUGUUUCAAAAUAGAUUAGAUCCAGAGGUUUUACUUGUCGUCUGUAUGACACAUUUUUUGUAGAGAAUUCAGUAAUAUGUAUGAUUCAUAAUACAAUCAAUGCUCUACAAAUUUCAAUAGCACAAUUGGAAUAAAAAGCUCAUUCAUUGAUUAUGUUGCUCUAGGUAACUCAACUUAUUGUGAUGUUCACUGUAGAUUUCUCCAUGGUCCAAACGACCUUUGUGAUCAGUUAUGUUUAUGCAUUUUGUAGAAUUGUAAAGUCUUUCCCUAACCUGCUGACGUAUCAGCCGGAGCAUGAGAAGGGGGUGCACCAAAUAUGGGAUGAGAUGGAGAGGAGUGAAUCAGGCCCAGAUCAACGAUCAUUUACUAUUAUGGUUUAUGGUCUUCAUUCCCAAGAAAAGCUUGAUGAGGCUCUGCAAUAUUACACAACAAUGAAGUCAAGAGGGUUGAUCCCUGAACCAAGGACCAAGAUACUGGUGAAAGCUAUACAUAUGAAGAAAGAUGGGGCUGUCACAGAAGAUCAGUCUGCAAAUAUGACAGGGAAGAAUCUAAAACUGGAUCCACGAUCUAGCCUAUUCCAUGUUCAUAAAUAGUUUGCUGUCAGAUCUUACUUCUAUAACCUCAACAGAGGAUUGCUGGGCACGUAUUAUGUGUCAAAAGAAUCUCUUCUACCAGUGUCCAGAUCACAAUGGCCACACCUUGGGCUACAAUAAAUCAUCAGAAAAGUGUAUUGGCAUCAUGUAUCCCAGAAAGUUUUGCUCAGACUUUCAAUGCCAGGGUAUGUUUUUCAUGUCUGAUAUGGAUCAAUUAUAUUGCAAGUACUGUAUUACACGCUCGUAUUAUGAAGGUUAUGUGAAAUAUGACAGAUGUUUGUUUAUUCAUCUGUUAUGCAUGGCUGUGUCUACUGUCUAGCUGUUGGCUUGUUGCCAACAUAUGCAGCAGCAGGUAGCUUCAGCCGCUCAGAAGCCCAAAUGAAGGAUGGCCCAGGCAGAAUAGCUAUGUCUAGACCCAGAAAGCUUAGGACAUGUCUUGCCAGCCUGCAGUUUUGUACUCGUAGCACCAACCAUCUCCGGGUUCUGGCCGGUUAUAUACAUGGUCUGGACUCUGGAAUGGGCAUCCGCUGAUCGAUUGAAACCUUGAGCUGCUUCCGUGUUUGUCUUUUACCAUCUAUAUAUUAUGGUUAGUCAACGGCAUGCAGUACACCCAUGCAUAUGAUUGCAGUAGGAUGACAUGGCGCGACCAGAACCCUUCUUUUGCCAGUUUUAGAUUCUUAUACACGGCCAACUGACGCAGCAGGGAGUUGCAUGCUAAGCAGUUCAGCGUAGGUGGUGAGUUCUCAACUCUGAUAUGGCUUAUGGAAGAACACUGUCACGGUGUUACCUAGCCGGUUGGAGGCCAACCUCUUACUAGGGACAGCAAUGGCCCUGUCCGGCCACUGUUUCGUGGCUGGUAUUAUUACCCCUAUGCAGUGAAUAUGACAUGUGGAUCUAUGUGUAUAUUAUGUCGUCAAAAGAACAUUAUAUGAACCGUUGAUCCACCUUUGAUUCUAUUAAUGUGUCAUGGUCAAUUGAUGUCAAACUCUAUUAUCUUCAAGUCUUAUUGUAUUGAUAAAAUCACGAUGCUGCUACUGCCAUUUUGAUGUUUAUAAAAGGGUAUUGAGAACCUGGUGGGUAUCCAUUGGAUGCGCAGGGUUGAUGGUGGGGAAAAAUGAGUGUAAAGGACAGGGAUGCAGUAUUUAGAAAGAUGGGGCUGCCACAGAAAAUAGUCUCCAAGUAUGGCAGGGAAGAAUCUAAAACUGAAUCCUUGAUCAAGACUGUCCCAUAUUCAUAAAUAGUUCACUGACAGAUCUUGCUUCCAUAUUCUGAACAGCUGAUGCUGGGCACAUAGGAGGUUAACCGGUCAGCGGAUCAAAGAAAAUCCACAAUGGCCUCAUCUUGGGUUAGAGACAAUCAUCGGUAAAGAAUCAUAUUGCCGGAUAAGGAUAUCUGUGAUUGGUGGGUGCAGAUCCAUGCUCAUUCAAGAAACACAUGAUUCUUUACGGAUGAUCAUCUCUCAGCACACCCUGCUGAUAAGGUUAUCUGAGAUUGGUGGGUGCAGAUCCUAGAAACAAGCUAGGGCUGAAUGCGCCGCUGUACUUGGAUGUUGUGGUGACACCGUAAUGAUUGUGUGUUUAACGGAGUUUCCCAUAGUGACUAGCGUGCAGGCCGUCCUCGUAUUUGAGAAAAAAAUCAAUGGGCGAAAUGUUUUCACCCAGGUAAUUGUUGCAUUGUAUGAAUAGGCUUAGAUACCUGGUUACUGUGACACAAGAAGAUUUAUCAUAUCUAUCUAUGAAUUAGUGUUAAAUCUCCUACAUAAAUAUCUUCUCUUAUCUCACUUUAUGUAUAUAUAUGACACAGAAGCACAUGUAUAUCGGCAUUGUAGAGAUAGAGAUGAGAGAGAAGCUUAUCUGCUUUUUGGAGAUAAAUAUUCAAAUUACUAGUGUAUGAGAGGGAUAGAAUUAUUCUAUCAUAUUGUUUAUUCAACAUCUAAAAAGAUUCCAUGUUUAGUCAUCUAUAUCGGCGUUGUAGAGAGAGAGACUAGUGUUCAUCUGGUUGGAAGGAUGAGAGAGAGAGGAGAGAGUUUGGAUGAGAUAGAGAGAUAGUGUUCAGCUGGUUGGAAGGAUGAGAGAGAGAGAGAGGAGAGUUUGGAUGAUAGAGAGAUUAGUGUUCACUUGGUUGGAAGGAUGAGAGGGAGAUGAGAGAGUUCGGAUGAGGAGGUAGAGAGUUCGGAAGAGAGAGAGAGGUGAGAGUUCGGAUGAGAGGUGUGAGAGAGGUGAGAGUUCGGAUGAGAGAUAAAGUAGCUUAUAAGGAUGAGAGAGAGAAAGCGGUAUUCAGCUGGAUGGUGGAGACUUCAUAUAUUACUAAUAAUGCAUCCAAACAACAUUUAAAAUUUAAUUCUAAGAAAAACUUUCUCGGUAAAUCAAAACAAGAAAAUUCAAUUGAAUCAAAUUCUACGGAAUCCAUUUCCUAUGAAAUCUAAUUGCUAGAAUAUGAUUCAUGGAAUGAGUUCCAAUUCUAGAGAUCCAAACGGGCCCUAAGAGAAUUGUAGUGAUCAACUCCCAAGUUGCAAUAUAUCCUAGGAAAUAGGUGGUUAUGAGGAUGAUACCUGCAGACAAUACUUUUAAUCCCUCAAUUCUUACAGAGAAUUGCACUAUCAACUGCAUUUUCAUUUGUGCCACGCUGCUCAGCUAUAAAAAACGGGGCAAAUCGACCAAAAUAAAUGAAUAAACCACAUGGUUUAGACUGGUGGCAUAUGUAUGUCUGAUGAGUUUAGAAUCCCAACAGACCUCUGUUUGCUUAUCCAACAGGAGGGAAAAAGUUUACUUACUAAAUCAGCUUUGCAUGUCAGGCUGCAAUUGUUAGAGAGUAGAAUUGGGUAAUUUGUGAACAUAAUUGAAUCAAAGUUUUGUCUCAGACUAGUAAUAGAAAAUGGUGAUGCUCCAUAGCUAGAACAACACGUUCCUACACUAGUUUAAAAAAUCCCCUGAAAUUGGGAACAAUGGUCAAGCCCAAACCAUACUUGGAACUUGGAAGGCCGCUGGCGGAUGUCAAAGUCAAAAACAGAAGCAGACAGCGACGUCUCACCAGAUCACGAAUCAGAUGCGAUGCAUAUACAUGUUGCAGGCAUUAGCACGCAUCCCUUAGGAUUAAACAAUUCAGCAAGUAGCUCCCCUGCUGACCAAGAAAAGCAAGCUCUGUCUCGCAGCAAGCUCUUCAAUACGCUCCAGCCCAGCUCUACCAUGGCAUUGGCAAUGCGCGUCAUGAGCUUGCUUCCUGCCACCAUCGCCGUGAUGAUCGCAGCGGCCUCCUGGGGAGCGCACGGCGGUGCCAGCGACGAGGCCAGCGCGCUGCUUGCUUUCAAGGCUGAGCUCGCCGGCAGCGGCUCCGGCAUGCUUGCAUCCUGGAAUGGCACCGCUGGCGUCUGCAGCUGGGAGGGCGUGGCGUGCACCAGCGGCCAGGUGGUGGCACUGAGCCUGCCCUCUUAUGGGUUCGCCGGAGCCCUCUCCCCGGCCAUUGGGAACCUCACUUUCCUGCGGACCCUGAACCUGAGUUCCAACUGGUUCCAGGGGGAGGUCCCAGCAAGCAUCGGCCGCCUAGCGCGUCUGCAGACGCUUGAUCUGAGCUACAAUGCGUUCUCUGGUACGCUUCCUUCCAACCUCAGUUCCUGUGUCAGCUUACUGCUGUUAGAUCUCAGCAGUAACCGGUUCCAUGGGCGUAUCCCUGUUGAGCUUGGAGACAAGCUAACAAGUCUUCAGAAGUUCUCACUGGGCAACAACAGCUUGACGGGUGCCAUGCCAGGAUUACUAGGUAACCUGUCAUCCCUGAACUACCUUGAUCUGAGAAAAAACCACCUCGAGGGUCCGAUCCCACAUGAACUCGGCAGCAUGGGCGGCCUGCAGGUCCUUUUACUCCAUGACAACAGACUCUCCGGUGUGCUUCCACACUCCCUGUACAAUCUGUCCUCACUGAAAAAGUUGGGGGUAGGAGACAACAUGCUGUCUGGAACCAUCCCUGCUGAUAUCGGCGAUAGGUUCCCCGGUAUGGAAGCUCUUGACUUUUCUAGCAACCGAUUCAGUGGAGCUAUCCCACCUUCGCUCGGCAACCUCUCUGCUCUCACAAAACUAGUCCUUCAAGAAAAUGGUUUUAUUGGAUAUGUGCCUUCUGCUUUGGGAAAGUUGCAAAGUCUUACUGCCCUUUUCUUGGGUGUUAACAGGCUAGGAGCAAACGACAGUCAAGGGUGGGAAUUCAUCACUUCACUGGCAAACAGCUCCCAGCUUCAGGUUCUUGUUCUCGGCAACAACUCUUUCAGCGGGCAACUGCCUAAUUCAGUCACAAACCUGUCAUCAACUCUGCAAGGUCUUUAUUUGGGAGACAAUAUGAUUUCUGGGAAUAUUCCAAUAAACAUCGGAAAUUUGGUUGGUCUUACAGUAUUUGUGAUGGGAAAUACUUCUGUAUCUGGACAGAUUCCAGAGAGCAUUGGUCAGCUAAGAAACUUGGGUGUGUUAGGCCUUUACAACACUAGCUUGUCAGGCCUCAUACCUUCGUCACUAGGAAAUCUUACACAGUUGAAUAGGCUUUAUGCAUACUAUGGAAACUUAGAGGGGCCAAUUCCAUCAAACUUGGGGAACUUAAAGAAUGUGUUUGUCUUUGAUCUCUCAACAAAUCGACUCAAUGGUUCAAUUCCUAUAGAGGUUUUAAAACUUCCUCAACUUUCCUGGUACUUAGACUUAUCAUAUAAUUCAUUAUCCGGGCCACUUCCAAUUGAGGUUGGUACCAUGGUGAAUCUUAACGAACUGAUUCUGUCUGGAAACAAGUUGUCAGGCACCAUACCAGCUAGUGUUGGGAACUGUAUAUCGUUGGUACGGCUGCUGCUCGAUAACAACUUAUUAGAAGGAAGCAUACCUCAAUCUCUGAAGAAUAUAAAAGGUCUUGCAUUACUGAACCUAACAAUGAAUAAGCUAUCUGGUAGUAUUCCUGAUGCCCUUGCUAGCAUUGGCCACCUGCAACAACUGUAUCUUGCACACAACAACUUGUCAGGUUCCAUCCCCAAAGUUCUACAGAAUUUGACAUUGUUGGCAAAACUGGAUUUGUCCUUCAAUGAUCUGCAAGGCGAAGUGCCAAAAGGGGGUCCUUUUGCAAAUGCAACUCACUUGUCAAUUGAUGGAAAUGAUGAGCUUUGUGGCGGAAACC